GGAAAGCCCUUGUGCUACACUUAAUGGGAAUACCGUCAACAAGGAAUCACAACCUGAAAUUUCAAUGGCUUGUAGAUUACGCAAGCUUAUAUAUUGAAAUGAACAAUCAAAAAGAAUCUUCAGGUUCUUAAGUUCUUUCAUAAAGAUUUCUUCCACUUUGGAGAAGUACUUUUCUUUUGUUGUUUUCGUUUGACCAAGCAUCAGGUCAUUGGAUGCAACAAAAGGCUGCAUCGUUGUCUUCACCAAGCAUGAAACAUUGUCACAACCAUCCAAUACAAUAGACUUUAAUUCAUCAAUAGUACUCUCUCCAUAAAGGUCUGGUAUGAUGUUAUCCAAAUCUUUUAUCCUCUUUAGUAAUAUACCAUCACUUACCUGAAACAGUUUCUUGAUUGGCAUAGUGAAUGGGAAGUUAGAAUGUGCAAUGUGUAGUCGAUGUUUUAAAUACGAUUUUGAUGGUUCCGGAUCAAUACGCAAAAAUAAUCUCUUAACCCUUGUAUUAAUCCUUCCGAAAAUAAAUUGAAAAAAGAAUUCUUGCAACGUUUUGAAGUAGGUACCUUCAGGAAAAAGAUGACAACCAUCAGAAUUCAUUGACAAAUGCAGAGCUCUGAACCAUUUCAAGUUACUUAUUUCCAUAAGACCAAAGCGCGACGGGUCCCUGUGACGGGUUCCAAUAUACAACUCUUCCAACCUAGGGAGCUUUGAUAUGACACCAGCUGUUACAUCAGAUAAAUGGAAACAGUCACCCGCAUCCAACAGCCUUAAGUUGGUCAAUUGACCGAUCUCUUUAGGAAUCACUUUAAUUCCGGUCCCUCUAACCCUCAGAAUCUCAAGGUCUUUUAGCUCCCCAACUAUACAAAUUUCUGUAAGAUGUCUAUUGGUACUUAGAUCAAGCGUGAUGAGUUUUGUGAGCAGCUUCAGUGAUUGUGGGAGGGAUUUGAUGGGAUUCCAAGACAUAUCUAAAACUUUAACUUCUUUCAUGCCUCCAAAGAAUUCAUCAGGAAUAAUUGAAAGAAGAUUGUGUCGUAUAAGGAAAGUAUCAAGGAGUGGGAAAUGAAGCUGAUGAUCUGGAAGCUUACGAAUUAUAUUACUCAUGAGUGAGAUCUUGGUGUAGCUUUCUGAGGUUCUGUUUCUUGGUUGCCAUUCUGUCAUACAUUUUCCAGCCUCCACUAAAAACUUCUCCUUCUCUUCACCUUCAUAAGAAGAAGUUAUUAACAAAGCCACAUCACGCACAACGUCAUGCAUUUUUACUUCGUUUCCCUCGGAUAAUAACAAGGAAGAGGAUGUGAGGGUGUCAACUGCCAUUCGGACUCUUUUUUCGGCAUCAUUAAAGCUAUCCAGAUUAUUAAAUAUCUGCAGACCCACCCCAUAUUCUGCUAGGCUUAACAUAUCUAUGAUUCCAUCUUCCCUGAACAAACUACACAGCAAGAAGAUUGAUUUAGCUUCUUUGCUAUCAAGUAAGUCAUAGCUCAGCUUCAAAUGAGUAAAUGCUUUCCUUAUCUCUGGAGCAAUCUCUAGAGGGGCAUGCUUUCUUAGUCGGUCAAGUGCUGCCUCCCAAAUAUUAAAUUUUUUAUUUUUUAAAGCAUUUCCCACGGCUUGAAUGAUGAGGGGCAAUCCACCACAUUCUUCAGUCACCUCUCUGGCAAUUUUCUCCAGACUGGAGUCGUUCGCUAACUUUUCAUCACCAACCAUACGUCUGAAGAGGACCCAUGCUUCUUCCUUCGUCAAAGUGUUUACACAGAUAUUCCUAUCGGCGUUCAUCGCUUCACAUACAUCCAUCCUUCUAGACGUCAACAAAAUCUUGCAAUUCCUGUGGGAAGGCCCACAUGGUAUGCCCACAUCAGGGAGGACUAGCGUUUCCCAUAUGUCAUCUAAAAUGAUUAGAACCUUCUCCCCAUUGAUUAUUCGCUUUGCAGCUACUUCAACAUUUUUUUUAAUCUCUUUAACGACUACAGUCUGUGAGACAGUUAUAAACACAGUGUCUGCAAAAAGAUUCUUCACUUCUGCAGCAACUUCCUUGGCUAGUGUAGUUUUCCCUACACCUCCUAACCCAUAAAUUCCAACAAUUUGUACGCUCUCAUCUUUGAUAGCUUUAAUUAUCUCCCUCAACACCAACUUGUGGGUAUCAAUAUCAUCAAGAUUCUUUGCUUGGUAGAGGUCUAUAAAUCUUGGGGUGGGAGUGCGAAUGGAGACACAAGAUUCGUAAGUUUGACCAUCUUCUUGAUGCUGCAGAAGAAAAGGGGUUUUGUUUAUCGACAUCUUACUGUAAUGGUGGAGGGUGCCCAAAUUGACACAAGGUCGUAAGUUGAAGCACGUCUUCUUGGCGUUGGCUUCUUGUUCGAGAAACUCUUCCACUUUGGAUAUUUCAAUGUCUGCCUUCUCCAUCCAGUUCUGCACACCAGCUAAGAGAGCUUGUCCAUUUUCUUUAGCUGCAUCGAUUCGUUGUUGAAUCCUAUCCCUCAUAUCCUUGAGCUUUUGAGUUUCACUCUUCAACUUGUCAAUAUUUUUAGUGUAAUUUCGGAUGUAAUCAAUCUCCCGUUUAGCCGCACUAAACAAUAAAUCCACUAUUUUCCCAACCACAGUAUUAGUGACCUCCUCUCCCAUUCUAGUUGGGUUGCUUCUUUUCUGAUUGUUUGGAUUCUUUAGAUAUGAAAAAAAAGAUUAUGAUUACCUAAAAACCGAAGGCCAUGACUAUAAAUUGCACAAAAAUACAGAUAACAGUGUUUAUUUGGCUAACAAAAGAAGAGUAUGAUAAAACAAGAAUGGAAGACUGUUGCUGAUUAAAAAAAAAGCUGUGACGAUAAGAGUGAAUAUUGAACACUUUCAGAGUGUUUGAUUGGUUUACAAAAGAAGAUAAGAUAAGAGUUACUGUACACAAAAUGAUAGAUACUUUUUUUUUUAUUUAUUUUUUUAUUUUUUAUCAUAACGCUAAACGUUAUAGUACAAAUUUGGUCACUCAUUAUAUUUUUUAAAUUCUAUUAUAAAAAUAGUAAGUUAUUAUAUCAUCGGGUUUAGGUUUAAUAAAGAACAGAAAAAAAAUAUACAAGUAAUAAAAAAAAACUAAUGCGUGAGUAACUGAGCAUCGGAAUGCAUAGUAUCAAUGUAGGAAACAAUGAUGUAUAUUUCUUAGACCUUAUUUGGAACAUGCACUGAAUUAAAAAAUCUUAUUUCAAUUUUUAAAGUCGUAGGGACUGAACCUGGUAGCUUGUAAUACUAAGAGGGUUGAAAAUGAUAUUUUCUGUACUAGACGGUAUCGAAGUGAACUCUUUCAAAAUGGAACUAUAUAGUUGACAUUUGCCCGCCAAAGUGCUAAUCAUUGGAUGGAUUUUUUGACUAUCUUUUAAAUAAAGGGUAAUGAUAUAAAAACACUUUUUUACAUUGAAAUUUGAUUUUGACACCGUGUUUUUUUUUUUUUAUCAAUUUUGACAUUGUGUUUUUCAAUUUGUUAUAAUUCUGACCACUUGACCGGUUAACCAGGUUACAUGCUGACGUGGCAUGCUGACAUGAUAUGUUGACGUGUCAAAAUUGAUUUUUUUUUAAUAAAAAACAUUAAGUUUUCAUUUUUUUCGAUUUUGACACUAAGUUUAAUUUUUUAUUUCAAUUUUGACAGUAUGUUUUUUUGUUCCAAUCGAACAUCAUUUAUCAAAUUUUGUUUAGUUUUGUCUAUUUUCUAUUUGAAACCGUAUAAAUAUAUUUUUUAUUAUAUUUUAAACCGUAUAAACAUAUUUUUUUCGUUUAAAAACUACAUUUUUAUUUAAAUACAAGAUGUUUUUUUUUCUUAUAUUCAAAGCAUUAGGUAUAUCAUGAGAAUUAAACUAACUAUAAGCUUCUAAUAAAAUGUAAAAAUUUGAUUGGUUGCAAACUUGAUAUCUUAAUUUUGAUCCACUACAUGCCUCCAAACCUCCAAACACAUUUUAAAGUUGCAUACUUAAUAUAAAAUACAAUUUUUAUAUAACUAAUACAUAUUUAUAUAUAAAAAUAUGGUUUGAGUGUAAAAAAAAAUGUAUUUAAACAAAACUAUGGUUUUUAAAUGAAAAUAAACAUAUUUAUAUGGUUUAAAUGUAUUUAAAAAAAUUUAUACGGUUUCAAAUGGAUAAUUGUCAACAUUGAACAAAAUUGGAAAAAAUGAUGUUCGAUUUGGAACAAAAAAACAUAGUGUCAAAGUUGAAAGAAAAAAUUAACUUAGUGUCANUAAACUUAGUGUCAAAAUCGAAAAAAAUGAAAACUUAGUGUUUUUUGUGAGAAAAAAAAUUCAAUUUUGACACGUCAGCAUAUAAUGUCAGCAUGCCAUGUCAUCAAAAACUGACACGUCAUCAUGCCACGUCAGCAUGUAACCUGGUUAACCGGUCAAAUAGUCAGAAUUGUAACAAAUUGGAAAACACAGUAUCAAAAUUGACAAAAAAAAAACACGGUGUCAAAAUCGAAUUUCCGUGUAAAAAGAGUGUUUUUUGUGCCAUUUACCCUUUAAAUACUUCUUUGAUGGAUUUUUUUGACUAUUCUUAGGAAUUGAUUAUUAUUAUUAUUAUUAUUAUUAUUAUUAUUUCAAAAAAAAAAAAAACAUUAACAUUCAAGGAUAAAUGCCUUUGAAAAAAAAUCUAUUAAGAAUAAGGAAAAAACAAAAAUUACAAGCAUAAUUCUAAAAAAAAUCGAUCAUUAUUCUUUAACAAUCAGAUUCAUUCUCGUAAAAAUUGAAUAUAGUGCAGGUCAAAAAGACGAAUUACAGGAACAUUCUUUUUAACAACCUUACACAUGUUUUCCCGUUCCUUUACUCUUCUACAAAAUCGCACCAACACAUCUGUUACAAAAUAAAUAAAUAAAUAACCACAAAAAAGAUGAAACCAUAUUCGAAUCUUCAAAGAUACUCAUGCCAUUUACCAUACCUGACAUGCUUUCUCUCUCAAACACCAUUCGUUAAAAUUUGCAAGAAAUUGAAAUUCCACAAACCAAUUAACAAGUUUAAAUAAGCACAUAAUCAUUCAUUAAGAUAAUUUAUGGGUAAAAGAGACAACAGCCGUGCAAUCCUACAAUAUAUUAGCACCAAAACCCCUACAAAACACAAAACCUUAUUCAUAUAAUCAAGACCAGUGAUCUAGGCAUUACCCAUCAAAAUUGUGGCAAAAUAAAGGCACAUAGCUAAGAUCUCAUACAAACAGAUUGUCAACACACACUUGGAUUGUUUAAUUAAAAAAACAAUUUUAUAACAGAAUCCAAAUCUACUUUGUGAGAUGGAAUAUAAUUUGGUUCAUAUAACAAAAGAAUAUUAAAAUAAAGGUUUAAUGGAAAAGAAAAAUACAUGCAAGUAGUCCCUGAAUUCCUGUUCUUGAGGUUUGUUGCCACUACCGACUUAUUGUCUAGAAUACACUUGAAAUCAAUUAUUGCUUUCCAUUGAGGUUUUACAACUGUUGUAUUUAAUUACCAAAAAACUGAGUCAGAAUAUAAAAUAUAGAUUGAAUAAAAGGUAAACUCACAGUUUCACCAUUCCCACUUCACACAACGAAUUUUCUUGAAGAAUAGAUUAUAAAUUGUGUAAUGAAAGUCAAAAUGCAUAGCACUGUAGCAGAAAGGAAAAUGAUAAAUAAGAUUCAAGAAGUAUAAGCAUGCAUAAAUUCCGUUUUCCACCAAUUUAAAAAGUAAACAAAAUGUAGAAAUUUCCACUACCUUUGACGAUUGGAGAAAUUAUAUCAAACACAUCCAAAUUAUUAUUGGAAAAAUUCUAUUAUCUUUGCUCAGCCAAUGUUGCCAUAUUCAACAGGGACCGUAAGAGUACAACACGUUUCCAAGAGAACCAUAGAAUCCCACAACCUACAAAAUACAUGCUAGAAGGCAAGAACAACAUGGUUCUGCAAGAAGAAAAUUGGUUAAAAAAUACAGCUUCAGUGAGACAUUUCAUCCAACAGUUUAUAAGCAACGUACUCUAAUAAUAAUAACAUACUAUAUACCAUCAGUUUUUGCCAAUCCCCUGUUCAGAAACAUGAGCAUAAAGAGCCUGUACCAUAUGAUUAUCAUCUUCAACUGCAACAACCUUGUUUGCAACUUCAAAAAGCUUCAUGGUAGUAUUUCUAGUGCCACGGUCAUAUUAUGGUGCUAAUAGGUGGUGUUGGUGAUGACGAUGGAUAUAGUCGACUAGAAAGUUGGAGGCUCAUGGCGGAGCACGUUUGGUGGCCGGCACGGGAAAUGGAUUUCAAAAAUCGAAAAAGGGGGAUUCAAAAUGGUGGGUUUGUAACUUACCUGAUGAAAAAACAUCCAUUUGGUGUAUGGGUGAGCAUUUGUAUCGAACCGGACCGGUCCGGCGCUUGGCCCGGACCGGUUAUGGAGAAUAUUGUGGACCAGGGACCGGACCAGAUGAGUCGUGUCCGUGUCCGCGUCCGUGUCCGGGUCCGGGUUUUCCGGUUCUUGGACCCGUUUGGACCGGUACAACUUUAAUUACAUAGAGUACAAGUCGUUAAAAUAAGUUUUUAGGUUUGAUACGAUACAACUUGUAAAAAUGAUUAUGUUUCCAUUUCAUGUAUAACUAAUAUACCUUGAUGUUAUAAUAUUAUAAGUUGCAAAAUUAAUUUUCCAAAUAAAAUCAACUAACAUAUAAAUCAAGUUCACCAAGAUUCAUUUCAUAUGAUUUAUCUAUCAAAGAUAGAUAAAAUUCAGAAUUAUAGUAUAAAAUGAUAGUUAAAAAGUUGAAAUAUUUCAACUUUGAUAGCUCAAUUUUGAAGGAUUGUAACUCACUGAAUAUAAUACCAAAAUUAACAAAAUUAUAGUCUAAAUUUAUCUACAAACUGUAACCUAAAUGUUGGAAAAAAUCUCGGGUCAAUCCGACUUAAAAAGAAUGUGUUAUGGUUGUUUAAAAAGUUUCACAGAUUACAAAAUUUUAAAAAAACUUGCUGAAAAGCUGAAAUAUUUUAGCUUUGAUAGCUUAACUUUGAAGGAUUGUAACUCACUGAAUAUAAUACCAAAAUCAACAAAAUUAUAGUCUAAAUUUAUCUACAAAUUAUAAACUAAAUGUUGGAAAAAACCUUAGGUCAAUCCGACUUAAAACAAUGAGUUAGAUUGUUUAAAAAAUUUUACAGAUUACAAAAGUUUAAAAAAAUUGCUGAAAAGCUGAAAAUUUUUAGCUUUGAUAGCUGAACUUUGAAAGACUGUAACUCAUUGAAUAUAAUACCAAAAUCAACAAAAUUAUAGUCUAAAUUCAUCUACAAACUGUAAAUUAAACGUUGGAAAAAACCGCAUGUCAAUCCUACUUAAAAUGAAUGAGUUAUGGUUGUUUAAAAAUUUUCACAGAUUACAAAAUUUUAAAAAUGUUGCUGAAAAGCUUAAAUUUUUCAGCUUUGAUAUCUCAACUUUGAAAGUUUGUAACUCAUUGAAUACUAUACCAAAAUCAACAAAACUAUAGUCUAAAUUUAUUUACAAACUGUAAGUUAAACAUUGGAAAAAACCGCGUGUCAAUCCGAUUUAAAACGAAUGAGUUAUGGUUGUUUAAAAAAUUUAACAUAUUACAUUUUUUUUUAAAUCCGGUCCAACCGGUUCUAAACCCGGUAAAAACUGGACCGGACCGAGAAAAAAAACGGACCGGACCGGGAUGGAUUCCUAGAACCGAGAACCGGCCCGGGGGUCCAAAAAAGCCGUCCGGUCCGGUCCGAUUCACCGGUCCAAAUGCUCACCCCUAAUUUGGUACAUAUAAGCAUAUAAGGUUAAAGGCGAGGGGAAUGGUAAGGAUUAGGGAGUGUGUGCAUUCUCAGCAUUCUAUUUUUUUUUUAUUUUCUUUUUCUAAUUUAAUUAAAUUACAAAACAUUUUUUUUGCAUAAAUAUUAAACAAAAAUUAUUUUUUUUAACCACAAACAAUUAAUAUAAUAUCAAUUUUUUUUUUAAAGCACCUCAUAUUAAAAAAUUACAAUAAAUUAAAACAAAAAAUACCUAACNNNNNNNNNNNNNNNNNNNNUUGUAGUUGCUAAAAAUUGAUAUUUUUUUGAAAUUUUAACAAGAUCUUAAUGAUUAAAUUUUUUACAACAAAAACAUACAUUUUAUCUAUAUAUUUCUAACAAAUAAUGAACUAUUAAGACAAGAUAAGGGCGUGAUUUUGAAACUUCCAUCCAAAUGGAAUAAAAAGGAAUUAAAAUAAACUCGGACAUGAAUGGUGAAGAUUCUCCAAUAGCCAAUCAGAUUCAAGCAACCUUCUCUCUCUCCUCUCGUUACGCCAUUAACGAGCUUAAGGUAGCGAGCUCCCUAGCGAGAGCUAGGGGCGGUGUUCUUUCUUCCUAGCGAGCGCCUAACGAGCUCUUUAGCACAUCCACUCCUAUCAGCCGAAAAUGACCUGAGAGAUUGAAUUUGGAAGAGAACAAAGAAGUCGGUGGUCCGCCAGUGAUGAUUGUGGUCUGAUGGUGUGUGUAGACUUUGAAGAACUUGGUACUAACUUGGUAAAUAUGGGAGACGGUGGCGGGGGUAGUCAAAGUGAUGGUGAUUGGUGGUUGUUUUGAAUGUGAUAUUGUUACAAAACAAAUUCAUUUGUGGUUUAAAAAAUAAAAUUUGUUUAAUAUUUAUGCACAAAAAUGUUUCUUUAUUAAAAUAAAGUAAUUUAAUUAAAUUAGAAAAAGAAAAUUAAAAAAAAAAAGAGUCCUAGGAGUGUUACCACUCCCUACAAAAUGCAAAAAUUAAGUACUAAAUGUUCAAAAAUGAGAUGACACUCAAAAAUCUGACGUGACAAGAUGUUAGAAGUGUGACAUCCCCAUUUUCACGGUCAGAAAAGACCGAUUUUGUUUAUGCUUUGUUUAAAAAUCAGAGUAAUAUUUUAAAUAAAAGUGUUGCGGAAUUUGUCCCAAAACAAAAUAUGAUAAAGAUUUAUCAAAAGCAUUUCCGUAGAAAUGUAUUUCAUUUAAAAAGACUCGGGAUGUCAUGUUCGAUACAGAUCAUAAGCAUAAACAAUACAGCAUAGGCCUUACUACAUUAUUCUGUAUUUACAGGCCUAAAAUUCAUUACUCUCUCAUCCCAAGACAUCACAUCUAUGCUCAUGCGCCACUACCUGUAAUACAAGAAACUGAGUGGGUCAGGCUUGGGAGCCUGGUGAGCACAUAGGGUUUUCAACCCACAAUAAAUAAGUUAUUAGCUUUAUCAAACCAAACAAACCCGAUUACCCGUUCCCGUUAUCCUCACUUUACGUCCCUAAAACAUCUAACACAAGGGACCUAGUCUAAGGACUAUCAUCGGGAUGGACACUACUGCUAAGGGGAUUCCUCAGCAAUAAAUGUCCUUAAGGCAACCAUAUGGGGGAUGGAGUACAUCUGGUGAGCACACAGUUCAAAUAAACACACAGUUCAAAUAAACACCUACAGGUUGCGAGCCUGCUAGUGUUCCACUGGACUGUCUAGAAUAGUCCGUGGUCAUCAUCUAUACUCCGCUAGAUGACUGGAUCAUCAAUAACAUCUAUAACGAGGCCUCUCAUUAUUUUAUUUUGUCACACAACAACUAUUACAUCUACCCAUGUUUUACCCAACACAUUUUGUAGAUAUAAAAUACAUAUACAGUUUAAAUCAUUGAAAACAUGUAUAAAACGUUCAUCCAGCAUAGAUAGCAAGUAUUCAGAUAAUAUGCACACAUAGCACGUAAUUUAUAUAAAAUACUUCAUAUCUAUGUGUAAGAUGAAAGUAACUAUGCACUCACUUGAAAGGUGGUGAGUCGGCACUCGGACAGCACUUCGUUACUCUUAAAACAAUUAUCCCUUGACGAAACCUAGUAUCAUUACCACUAGAGUUUAGUCUAACGCUUGACGAGACUAAUUUAAUAGUCUAGCUAUUAUUACUAUUAUAUAAGCGUUAAAUAACACUCAAUAUAACUCAUAAUAAUAGCCCAAAAUAAUUAUUUUAAGGUCCUAAUAUGUUAUUAUAAUUAAAUAAAAUCUAUAUUAAAUAUAGUAUAGGCGUAGCUCACUUACAGCGGGUUUUUAUUAAAAACCGGGUUUCGUUGGAGCAGCGUUUCCGAGCCGAAAGCUUUUCUUCUCGGAGCCGUCGGGCGCUCCGGGGCUUUCUUCUCGUGCUAGGGAGGUUCCGUAGACUUGGGAGGGGUUUAGGGAGGCUAGAGAGAAGUUAGAGAGAGAAAGAGAGGCUUAUGGUGUGAAGAAAAUAUGAGGAGUUCACCCUUGUAUUUAUAGGAGUUUUAUAGUAAAGUAGUCUCCACGUUUCGUCCGUAACUUUUGCAUACGAGCUCCGUUUUUGUCUGUCUUUUUACCGUUGAGUUCCUAUUAAUGAGAUCUUCAACUCUCAUUUAGACCUCGUUGGCUAAUUCUCAUUCUAUCUCGGAUUUACAAAACUGUAUCGAAUUCGCCGCGUUCGAAAAGUAGAGACUAAGCAUUGUCCAUAACUUUCGCAUACGAGCUCUGUUUUUGUCUAUAUUUUUACCUUUGAGUUCCUAUUAAUGAGAUCUUCAACUCUCAUUUAGACCUCGUUGGCUAAUUCUCAUUCUAUCUCGGAUUUACAAAACUGUAUCGAAUUCGCCGCGCUCGAAAAGUAGGGACUAAGCUUCGUCCAUAACUUUCGCAUACGAGCUCUAUUAUCGACGUUCUUUAUAUCCAUGCAUUGGUAUUUAUGAGUACUACAAAUUUCAUUUAGAUCUCGUCGGCUAAUUCUCACUCUAUCUCAGAUUCACAAAACUGUAUCGAAUUCGCAACGCUCAAAGAGUAGGGACUAAGUUUCGUCCAUAUCUUUCGCAUACGGGCUCCGUUUUUGACUGUCUUUUUAUCGUUUAACUCCUAUUAAUGAUAUCUUCACUUAUCGUUUAGAUUAUUUUGGCUAAAAAUCGACCGAUCUAAAAUUCAGAUUUUGGGCUAUGUACUGCUAUGCUAAAUCUUAGAAAAAUCAUAACUUCCUCAUACGAAGUCAGAUUUUGAUGUUCUUUUUAUGCACACUAUCGGUUUAACAUAUACUACGAAUUUCGUUUAGAUCGCUAUGGCUAAAUCUCGCUCUAUCGUAAAUUCACUAUUUACGCCUCCCGGUAUCGUGUCGGUUCCGUCGCGAAACUUCGACGGGUCAUAACUUCUUCGUUAUAACUCGGAUUUCGACGCUCUUUAUAUGUACGGAAACCUUGUAACAUAUACUAAAACUUGGUUGAGAUUAUUUAUUCUUAAUAAGCUUUUGUCAAAAAGUCGUUUUCGACCCCUAUUGCCUCUAAAUUUACUAGCCCGAAUCUACGGGCGUUACAAGAAGUGUUACCACUCCCCUUAACCUUAAGAUAAUAUAGGCUUCAAAUUAAAACAGUUGCUAUAACUACAUGAUAAUAUUUAAAGUUCAUUUAUUUACUGGGUUAUGGAACCAUGGGAAAAAGAUUAAUAAAACAUAUAUACUACUAAAAAGAUUUAAGUCUUUUUACAUUUUUUUUUUAUUGAUUAUUUAAAAUUAAUAUAUAUUUUUAUUUGAAUAUAUGAUAUACGUUAUGCAUGUAAAGACGUUUAAUAUAAUGAUGAUUUAUAAAUAAGAAUACAAAUUCAAAUAGAGUGUAAUAAAAUCACAAUCAAUAAUGGAACUGACAUUGAUAUAAGAAAAAUAAAAAUAAUAUAAAUGUAAUAAAAUUAAAUAAACACAAUACAAUAAAUUACAAAUUUAAAACUACAAAUGGUUUAUAAAUUUCUAAAACUUCUUUAUACCCAACAUUGGAAUCUUUGUUUGUAAAUCUACUAUCCUUAUCUAAAAUUAACAAUUUUAAUCAUUAUUUACCUUCAACUAGGGAUGUCAAAAAGUCUCGUGGGACCCCAAUCCCAUAUGAGGAUAUUUGUUAAAAAACCGGGGACAGGGGCAGCGUGGGGGCAAUGUUAACUCCCGUUUUAGUUUCCGGGGCGGGGACGGGGGUAGGUAGUCCCGUCCCGAACCCGCAUGGGCCCNNNNNNNNNNNNNNNNNNNNNNNNNNNNNNNNNNNNNNNNNNNNNNNNNNNNNNNNNNNNNNNNNNNNNNNNNNNNNNNNNNNNNNNNNNNNNNNNNNNNNNNNNNNNNNNNNNNNNNNNNNNNNNNNNNNNNNNNNNNNNNNNNNNNNNNNNNNNNNNNNNNNNNNNNNNNNNNNNNNNNNNNNNNNNNNNNNNNNNNNNNNNNNNNNNNNNNNNNNNNNNNNNNNNNNNNNNNNNNNNNNNNNNNNNNNNNNNNNNNNNNNNNNNNNNNNNNNNNNNNNNNNNNNNNNNNNNNNNNNNNNNNNNNNNNNNNNNNNNNNNNNNNNNNNNNNNNNNNNNNNNNNNNNNNNNNNNNNNNNNNNNNNNNNNNNNNNNNNNNNNNNNNNNNNNNNNNNNNNNNNNNNNNNNNNNNNNNNNNNNNNNNNNNNNNNNNNNNNNNNNNNNNNNNNNNNNNNNNNNNNNNNNNNNNNNNNNNNNNNNNNNNNNNNNNNNNNNNNNNNNNNNNNNNNNNNNNNNNNNNNNNNNNNNNNNNNNNNNNNNNNNNNNNNNNNNNNNNNNNNNNNNNNNNNNNNNNNNNNNNNNNNNNNNNNNNNNNNNNNNNNNNNNNNNNNNNNNNNNNNNNNNNNNNNNNNNNNNNNNNNNNNNNNNNNNNNNNNNNNNNNNNNNNNNNNNNNNNNNNNNNNNNNNNNNNNNNNNNNNNNNNNNNNNNNNNNNNNNNNNNNNNNNNNNNNNNNNNNNNNNNNNNNNNNNNNNNNNNNNNNNNNNNNNNNNNNNNNNNNNNNNNNNNNNNNNNNNNNNNNNNNNNNNNNNNNNNNNNNNNNNNNNNCUCUCACAAACACACACAUAUAUAUAUAUAUAUAUAUAUAUAUAUAUAUAUAUAUGUGUGUGUGUGUGUGUGUGUGUGUGUGUGUGUUUAAAUGAGAAUAUUUUCUACAGCGAGAACAUUUGAGAACAAUUCUUGGCCGUUAGUUUUUUUUAAUUUAAAGUUAAAAGAAAUUAUUUCUUUAUUAUUGAAAUUUAAAUAUAUCUUUGUUUAAGAUUCUUUUGUAUCUCUUUCUCUCUUUAGAUCUCUCUCUCUCUCUCUCUCAUAGGUAAGUCUAGAGUCUGGACCGUCGGAACCACCAUAAUGUCGCCGGAACCUUCGCCUGACCGCCUCUUCACUCCUUGCGGAUUUGCUUGUUCGCUGCCUCCCUCUCCCUUCAACUGUCGAAAACCACAUUCUCCGCCCUCCUCUUCCUAAAUUGUCACUGAAUCUUAUUUCACCGGCCAUAAGAUUGCGUUUUCAGAUCUAGUUCCAUCGGUUUUAAGAUCUCGUUUCCCGCUCUUGUUUCCCCGCCACAGGACCUGCUUUCCCAAUCUAGAUUUAGACUCCUCGGACCUCCGAGAGCAGCUGUAACGCCCGGGUUUCAGGGCUAAGCAUUUUUGUCNUAUAUAUAUAUAUAUAUAUAUAGACACACACACACACAAAUAUAGCCAGGUUCUUUUGAAAACCAAAAGAUUUGCGAAAACUUGCGAACUCAUAAUCAACUCAUCAUUUUUCAAUACUAAAAACACCAAUCUUCUCAAAAUGGUGCGUCUACGCCAUAUCUAUGCUAAAAAAAAAGAUUUGAUGUUUUUUUUUGGCUUUUUUGUUUGACUGCUGAUUGUGCUUAUCAGCAGUACAUACGACUGCUGAUUGUGCAUACAUGCAAAUUUCAAAAAUUUCAAAAAUAAUUGUCAAAUCUUUUUUUUAGCAUAGAUACAGUGUUGUAAAACUCACCGAUUUGUCCGAGUACUCGCUACUCGGCCCCUUACCGAGGCGAAUUACAAAAUCCGAGUACUCCCCGAUCUGCCCCUUAUUGAAGCGAGCCCUGUUAUAAAACUCGGCCAACUCGAUGAUUAAUAUGUAUAGUAUACUUAAUGAUUUGUUAUUUAACACACACAUAUGUGAUUAUUACUACAUAUAUAUCUUAAAUUUUCAAUAAUUAUUCAUGAAGUGGGACCAUUGUGUGUUUUUUUAGUUUUUGUGUAUUCACAUGUAUCUAAUUUUUUUUAUAUAUUUCAUUCAACUUAUGGUUUUAACUUAUGAUUUUGACAUAUAUAAUUUCCCUAAAAAUAUUUCUAUAUGAAUUACCGAAUCCGAGUACGCCCGAGUACUCCCGAGUACUCGCUACUCGGUAGUCGGCCAAGUAGGUACCGAGUAGCGAGUUCUACAACCAUGCAUAUAUAUGAAUUAGACGUACCAUUUGGAGAAGAUUGAUAUUUUAAGUUUGAAAAAUGAUGUGUUGAUUAUGAGUUCGCAAGUUCACAUGCUUUUUUUAGUUCUCACGAUAACUCAACCAUAUAUAUAUAUAUAUAUAUAUAUAUAUAUAUAUAUAUGUGUGUGNNNNNNNNNNNNNNNNNNNNNNNNNNNNNNNNNNNNNNNNNNNNNNNNNNNNNNNNNNNNNNNNNNNNNNNNNNNNNNNNNNNNNNNNNNNNNNNNNNNNNNNNNNNNNNNNNNNNNNNNNNNNNNNNNNNNNNNNNNNNNNNNNNNNNNNNNNNNNNNNNNNNNNNNNNNNNNNNNNNNNNNNNNNNNNNNNNNNNNNNNNNNNNNNNNNNNNNNNNNNNNNNNNNNNNNNNNNNNNNNNNNNNNNNNNNNNNNNNNNNNNNNNNNNNNNNNNNNNNNNNNNNNNNNNNNNNNNNNNNNNNNNNNNNNNNNNNNNNNNNNNNNNNNNNNNNNNNNNNNNNNNNNNNNNNNNNNNNNNNNNNNNNNNNNNNNNNNNNNNNNNNNNNNNNNNNNNNNNNNNNNNNNNNNNNNNNNNNNNNNNNNNNNNNNNNNNNNNNNNNNNNNNNNNNNNNNNNNNNNNNNNNNNNNNNNNNNNNNNNNNNNNNNNNNNNNNNNNNNNNNNNNNNNNNNNNNNNNNNNNNNNNNNNNNNNNNNNNNNNNNNNNNNNNNNNNNNNNNNNNNNNNNNNNNNNNNNNNNNNNNNNNNNNNNNNNNNNNNNNNNNNNNNNNNNNNNNNNNNNNNNNNNNNNNNNNNNNNNNNNNNNNNNNNNNNNNNNNNNNNNNNNNNNNNNNNNNNNNNNNNNNNNNNNNNNNNNNNNNNNNNNNNNNNNNNNNNNNNNNNNNNNNNNNNNNNNNNNNNNNNNNNNNNNNNNNNNNNNNNNNNNNNNNNNNNNNNNNNNNNNNNNNNNNNNNNNNNNNNNNNNNNNNNNNNNNNNNNNNNNNNNNNNNNNNNNNNNNNNNNNNNNNNNNNNNNNNNNNNNNNNNNNNNNNNNNNNNNNNNNNNNNNNNNNNNNNNNNNNNNNNNNNNNNNNNNNNNNNNNNNNNNNNNNNNNNNNNNNNNNNNNNNNNNNNNNNNNNNNNNNNNNNNNNNNNNNNNNNNNNNNNNNNNNNNNNNNNNNNNNNNNNNNNNNNNNNNNNNNNNNNNNNNNNNNNNNNNNNNNNNNNNNNNNNNNNNNNNNNNNNNNNNNNNNNNNNNNNNNNNNNNNNNNNNNNNNNNNNNNNNNNNNNNNNNNNNNNNNNNNNNNNNNNNNNNNNNNNNNNNNNNNNNNNNNNNNNNNNNNNNNNNNNNNNNNNNNNNNNNNNNNNNNNNNNNNNNNNNNNNNNNNNNNNNNNNNNNNNNNNNNNNNNNNNNNNNNNNNNNNNNNNNNNNNNNNNNNNNNNNNNNNNNNNNNNNNNNNNNNNNNNNNNNNNNNNNNNNNNNNNNNNNNNNNNNNNNNNNNNNNNNNNNNNNNNNNNNNNNNNNNNNNNNNNNNNNNNNNNNNNNNNNNNNNNNNNNNNNNNNNNNNNNNNNNNNNNNNNNNNNNNNNNNNNNNNNNNNNNNNNNNNNNNNNNNNNNNNNNNNNNNNNNNNNNNNNNNNNNNNNNNNNNNNNNNNNNNNNNNNNNNNNNNNNNNNNNNNNNNNNNNNNNNNNNNNNNNNNNNNNNNNNNNNNNNNNNNNNNNNNNNNNNNNNNNNNNNNNNNNNNNNNNNNNNNNNNNNNNNNNNNNNNNNNNNNNNNNNNNNNNNNNNNNNNNNNNNNNNNNNNNNNNNNNNNNNNNNNNNNNNNNNNNNNNNNNNNNNNNNNNNNNNNNNNNNNNNNNNNNNNNNNNNNNNNNNNNNNNNNNNNNNNNNNNNNNNNNNNNNNNNNNNNNNNNNNNNNNNNNNNNNNNNNNNNNNNNNNNNNNNNNNNNNNNNNNNNNNNNNNNNNNNNNNNNNNNNNNNNNNNNNNNNNNNNNNNNNNNNNNNNNNNNNNNNNNNNNNNNNNNNNNNNNNNNNNNNNNNNNNNNNNNNNNNNNNNNNNNNNNNNNNNNNNNNNNNNNNNNNNNNNNNNNNNNNNNNNNNNNNNNNNNNNNNNNNNNNNNNNNNNNNNNNNNNNNNNNNNNNNNNNNNNNNNNNNNNNNNNNNNNNNNNNNNNNNNNNNNNNNNNNNNNNNNNNNNNNNNNNNNNNNNNNNNNNNNNNNNNNNNNNNNNNNNNNNNNNNNNNNNNNNNNNNNNNNNNNNNNNNNNNNNNNNNNNNNNNNNNNNNNNNNNNNNNNNNNNNNNNNNNNNNNNNNNNNNNNNNNNNNNNNNNNNNNNNNNNNNNNNNNNNNNNNNNNNNNNNNNNNNNNNNNNNNNNNNNNNNNNNNNNNNNNNNNNNNNNNNNNNNNNNNNNNNNNNNNNNNNNNNNNNNNNNNNNNNNNNNNNNNNNNUGUCAUCUAGCGGAGUAUGGAUGACGACCACGGACUCUUCUAGACAGUCCAGUGGAACACUAGCAGGCUCGCAACCUGUAGGUGUUUGUGAACGAUGUGUUCACCGGUGUACUCCAUCCCCCACAUGGUUGCCUUUAGGACAUUUAUUGCUGAGGAAUCCCCUUAGCAGUAGUGUCCGUCCCGAUGAUGAUCCUUAGGCUAGGUCCCUUAUGAUAGGUGUUUAGGGACGUAAAGUGAGGAUAACGGGAACGGGUAAUCGGGUUAUUGUUGAUCGAUGAAAUUAAUAAACUUAUUUAUUGUGGGUUGAAAACCCUAUGUGCUCACCAGGCUCCCAAGCCUGACCCACUCAGUUUUAUGUAUUACAGGUAGUGGCGCAUGAGCAUAGAUGUGAUGUUUUGGACGAGGGAUUACGGAUAUAGGCCUGUAGAUAUGAAAUAAUGUAGUAAGGCUUAUAUUGUACUGUUUAUGCUUUUGAUAUGUACGAACAUGACAUCCCAAGUCUUUUAAUGAAAUACAUUUCUAUGGAAAUGCUUUUGAUAAAUCUUUAUCAUAUUUUGUUUUGGGACAAAUUCCGCAACACUUUCAUUUAAAAUGUAACUCUGAUUUUUAAACAAAACAUAAACAAACCGGUCUUUUCUGGCCGUAAUUUUGGGGAUGUCACAGCAGCUCACCGUGAAAGACCUUUCGUCUCCGACCUUCACUCUCAACUUUUUUCUAGAUAUCAUUGAUGGGUUUUGAGCAUUCUAACACUCCUAAGGUGUACAUGCAACCCUAGAAACCUUGGAUCUAUGUUUUACUAUGAUACAUCCAAAUUUGAUUUUCCAAGGUUUAUAACCUAUCUAGCAUACAUGGGGAACUUUAAACAUAAAAGCUAGUAAGAAAAACAUACCUUUUGUUGCUUGAAUUCCUUUGAGAACCUUGUGAGCCUAGCACCCCAAAUGUGAUGCCUCAAAUGCUUCACACAACACCUACACUUGGAAUAACCUUGAGAGAAAAGUCACACUUCUAAAAUCGGCUAUGCCCUCUUGUUCUCACUUAGUGACUGAUUUUGGUGAAUAACAUAAUCCUUUUAUAGAGUGUCACAAGUAGGGUUACACCAUGUAAACCCUAAAUGACAUGGCUCUUCAUUUCUUGGAUCCAUGGGUUCAAAACAACAAUGGAGCAUCCAUGGAGCAUCUUAUGGGUUUUAGGCCAACUUGAUAAACUAUGGAUCAUUAGCCCACUAUACAAAAAUGGAUGAUUUACACAGUCAACCCAUAUAUUUAAUUAGUCUCUUUUUUUAUCACAAAAUUAAUUCUUGAUCAAUACUAACUAAAUAAUAUUAUUAAUAUAUUAGAACUUAUAAUAUAUUAAUAACCAUACAUGUCCUUUCUCUCAGCAAACAAAACCAAUCUCUUUUUGUCAUCUCUUACAAUAUCCAAACAUGAUUCAAAACUAUAAUAUGAAUCAUUGACUAGCUUUACAUUCUCACAAUCACCUGAAUCGGAUUGAAGAGAACUAAAAUGAUAAUUUCUUGAUAUAACAUCCUUUCUCCGUCUUUUCAAAAUGUACCUUUCAGGAAUUUCUUUAACACCACAUCUCAUCAUUAUUAUAAAAACAUGUCUGCAUAAAACACCCAUACACUUAAAAUAAAACAAUAAUAUAUGAAUAAAACAAUCAUAUAUGCAUACAUGAAACUCAUAUAAAUAAAACAAAAAACAUUCAUAUAUGAAUAAAACAUUCAUAUAUGAAUACAUAAAAUUCAUGAGGAUUCAAAAUAUAUAAAAUAAACAUAACUUAUUCAUAUAUGAAUAAAACGAAAAAAAUAAUAAAUUCGAAAUUACAAUUAUCACACGUUUAUUCAUAUAUGAAUAAGACAACACUUUAUUCAUAUUAACAUAUUCAUAUAUCAAUAAAUGAUAAUCCACAAAAUUAAAAACAACAAAAUAAUUCAAUAACUCAUACCUUCAAAAAAUGAGUUCUCAACAUCUUCUUCUUCACUCUCACUCAUAGAAGAAUACAAAUCACCAUCAAUAACACUAGAAUUCGACAUAAUAAUCCAAAUGAUUUGUAUAAAUAAACAAAAACAAUCUUAAUAUCGAAUAUAUCUCAUAGAAAAAAGUCAUAAAGAUGAAAACUUGGUUAAUUUCGAAUAUAUGUCACCUCAACGUACAAAAUAUCUGAAAGAAACUUCAAUCAGAUCGAUCAGAUGAUGUAAUUAAGCAAUCUCUCUCAGUUUAGAGCGUAAAAACUACAAUAAUAUAUCUGAUUAAAAAUUAAAUCAGCUCCGAUUUGAAAUAAAUAUCUCAAACUACAUAACAAAAAUCCGAUUAAAUCACUGCAAUACAUAUUCGAAACUUGAUAAUCUUGAUAAUGAACUCCGAUGAAACAACUCCAAAACGAAGAUAAUACGCGUAAUUCCAAACAAAUUAUAUAGAGCAAUAAUCUUGAUAAUGAACUCCGAUCUAUCCGAUUCAAACGAUAUACAUACGUGAUCAAAUUGGAAACUAAAUACGAAGAAGAAAACUGAAACACAGAUGGCAAACUUCACAAUUAAUGGAAUGAAUACGUAUAAUUGCUAACGAGUUAUAUAAAGAAAAUAAUCUUGAUAAUGAAUUCCUCAUAUCCGAUUCAAACGAGCUAAAAGAUAUCAUCAAAUUGGAAACUGAUAACAACGAACAGGUAAGUUCUAUGUAAAAAAGUUGUUAAUUUACAAAGAUACCCUUAAUGAAAAAUGGACAUGCGUAUUUUUUUUAAGGUGAACAUGUUAGAUAAAUGAUUGGCUGAGAAUGAUUCCCCAAUUCUCAACCUUUUUUAUUUUCUCAAUUGAACUUUUAUAUAUAUAUAUAUAUCAUUACCUAUAUGUUAAAGAGUUGGGCUUAUGUCCACGUCGAUAGUUGCUUUCCCUCCUCCAAUCGGAAGACUAAUGGGCGGCCAAUUUUAAACGAUGAUAUGUUCUUCCGUUAUACCCUUCAUCAUCCUUCCGUUAGUUGCUUGGCUGCAUGCAUCACCAAUCUGCCUGCUUGUUUCCAGUCAUCAUUGCAUCAGGCCAACGCAACAGACUUCAAAGGUGGGUUUACUCUUUGUCGGUGUUUCCCCCAAAGCUCUUUGCCGCCUCAAUUAAGCUUCUUAAGGCGAGUCACUCUUUCUUUCUCACGUUUUUCUUUUUGCCACUCUUUCUUCUCCUUUUUCUUUCUUAUUGAGAAGUAACCGCCUUAGAUUUCUUUAACCACCAAUAUCUCCUGAUCCAGGUAAUCAGUUCUAUUUUUUAGUAUUUAUCUACAACAUGAGAUUUUUGGUCUGGUAUCAAUGGAUAGUUACUAAAUGUUCUGUACACCAAAUCCUUUUAUGCAUCUUGUUUAUAUAUGUAAAUUAAAAUAUGAGAAUCGACCAGUAGCAGCAAGAACUCAAUUUGCAGAUUAUUUUUUCCUUGUUGUUUCAGUUGAUGUCUUCGGCUAUAAUUUUCUUUUUGUUCACUGCUGCUUGAAGUGGUUACAUUAACCCUAAUCAUCCACAGAAGUUUAUUUAUUUAUAUAUUCUUACUCAUUAUCUGCAUGAAAUCUCUUUUCUCUUUUGCAUCAUGGUGGUAGUACUAAAAAAUUUCAAAAAGGGGGCGAGGGGUUCUCUGUUCCACGUCGAUGGGUUGCUUCCCUCCCCCAAUAGAAAGACUGGAGCGGGCAUUUUUAACGUAUAUGACGGUGAGCAGCUUGGCUGUCUACAUCACCGAGGUGCCUGCCUGUAUUACCAGGGUGCCUGCUUCCGACGCCGCCUUACAAACGUUUAUGACGUAUGAUUCCCGCCAGCGAUGGUCUAAUUGAAGAAAUCGACUACUUGGGCUAUGGGUUUUCCUUUUGGCGGUGAUGUUUUCUUCAAAGCUGCUUUCACCUACUGCUUUGUUUGAAGCGUCGAUGAAAUGUGCGUUCGUCGCCUUGCUUCCCUUUGUCGAGUCACACUCUAUUAUGAGCUCUGGUGGCCACCUAUUGUCGUGGUUUUCAAGGUAAUCUUUUUAUAUUGAUUUCAUUAUAUACCGACUUCAAUCUCCUUCAUCUCUUUUUAUUAUAUUUUUUUGCUAUCUCUUUCUUUAGACAAUGCUUUGGGUGAGUGAUUUCGACCUCAAAUCGAAGCUACAUGAUUAGGGAUUUUUUGUUUUGUUGUGUUCGUUUGCUGGAUUAUGGCUCUAUCUUCACAAAAAGUUUUAAUUUGAGACGUUGGAUUAAACAAGAAAGGAUGUUCUCCUUUUCAUCUGAUGGUGGUCGGAGACAUACGACGUUGCCGCCUGCCAGGGCAGCUUAUGUCUUCGUUUUUCCUGAUUUAGGUAAUCUCUACUAUCGGUUUAAUUCUAAAAUACAAGCAAUCGAUAUUCAAUCAUUUUUGUAGAACAAUUUACAUAAUUUUUUGGGAUUUGGUAGAUUUCAAGUACUUAAAUUUAUUUUUUCUAAUGGAAUGCACUUUUGUUAUUUAAUGAAUUUGUUGAAUUACGGUCAUUUGUUUGACACAAUAGCGAAAGCCACUUAGAGAGUGGGAAGCUAUCAACUUUAUAAAUUAUUUAUGGUUUCGUAUUUGUUAGCUCUAAUAUGUUUGAUCUUUAUACAGAUGGCGGUUUUUAUGGAAUUUUAACAAAUGGGUGAUAUUGAUGGUUUAGGAAGCAUAAAAAGGAUAUAACACAGUUUCAGGCUGGAUUUGGGUACCAGCAGAAAUCCAAUGCCUAGUAGAUAAGAGAGAUCGGAAAUAGAGUUUAUAACCACCUUCAACUUUCUCUAUUCUCUGCAAUAUCAUUGUUUCUAUUGUGGGUUGUUUCAAUUGUUUCUUCUUUGUUAAAAGAUUAUGAUGGGGCUUAAUAACAACUCGUAGUCUUCAUCUUGACAAAAUAUUGAAGCCUUGGAGGAAACUACUAAUUAGUUUUAUUGAAAGACCAAUGAUUCUUACACUACAAGAAAGUAGAGCAUUACCGGCGACAGGCGUCGUCGCUAAAAGUGCGGCUUGUCGCCGCUAAAAUGUCGAUGCUGAUAUUUUGUCGCUAUUAAUCAAACUGUCGCCGCUAACGCGUGUUUGUCGUCGCUAAAGACUUGUCGCCGCUAAAGACGUGUCACCAAUAAUAACCUAUUGUUGCCACUAAAGGCGUCGCAUGUAUUGGUGUUUUUCUUUUAUAUNAAAAACUGGUAUGAUAUUAAUUAAUCUAAUCCUACAUCAUUCCAAUCCAAAAUAUUAAUACAAUAUCCGUUUAAAAUUACUCGUCUGAUUUAACAUAUAACAAAAUAUCGAAAAUACUAGUCUAAAAUACUUGCACAAAUAAAACAUAAAAAAAUCCUACAACUAUCUACUCGUCAUCAUCGCUCUCCUCGUUUCCUCCGGUUUCAUUUCGUUGUGGCAACGAACGAAACCAAUCUUCAAGUGCAGCACUACAUGCCAGAUCUUUUAACAUUGUUUGAAGCAUUUCCAACUACAAAUAAAACAACAGUCUUAUAAGUUAAAAUAGCAUUAUAACAUUCUAUAUACAAAAUAUACAUUCCACAUAUUGCGUAUAAAACAUUAUAACAUUGUACUAUAAGUAACAAUUACCAAAUUUUGAAACUAUUACUAAACUAACAAUUACCAACAUUUUAAACAAUUACCAAAAUUAAAUAGUCCUGUCACCUGUGAUUGUGGUGGUGGCUGUGUCAGUGGUUGUUCCUGAUCGUACAUCGACACAACCGUAGAAGGUUUACGCCCGAUGCCUCUGAUAUGGCCACGUCGAACACCUAAUAUUUUUUCAAAACAAUUUUGUGUAUCCUUUGGUGUUAGACCGCUGGCUUCAGAAGAUGCUUGAGUUUGUUGACUGAUCUCAAAGAGUAAAGCAUUCUGUAUUUUCAAAAAAGAAAUAAAUAUAAUAAAAAUUAGAUUACUAACUACCCUUUGACGAUAUAAUCACUUAUAUGAUAAUAAAAAUUAACCACUUACGUAUUGUUGCUCGACUGCAGGACUACUAAACACCCCUUGGCGAUCAGUAUUGGCCUUACGAAAUGCUUCGAUUCGAGCGAUGUCCUAUUUAACAUUAAAAAUUAGAUUAAUUAUAAUUUAAAUAAACAGUUAAAUAUAUCAUAGCUUACUUCUUUGAAACAUGCAUUGCUAUACGAGCACGAUCCCCCUCGGUUUACAACUUGUUGUUGUGCACGGACUCCUUUGUUUGACGCCGAACGCUUUAGAAAUUCAGGAGUUUGAAAAUGCUCGACUGCUUGUGCCCAAUUUUCACGUGACAUACCAUCGGGGGGGUUGGCUAAUGCCCUUGGGAUAUCUGUAAGCCCCCCGACAUUCUCAAAAUAAGUAUGCGCUUUAUUUUUUUCAGCCUCUAUAAAUUCUUUGCAAGGUCGCGUCAAUGCUCUGCAACAACUGAGCACGCUCGGGAUCCAAGUUAACUUUAUCUAAAUCAAACUUAUUCUACAAAUACAAAAAAGUUAGUUAGUUAAAUACCAAUUAGAACUAAACUUAAAAUAUUGUCCAAGUUACCUUUAAAUGAACCACUGUGGCAUUCCUUAAAGCGGGGGAACCAUUAUCCCAACCAGAUACGUUCAAAGGGAUGUUCAUCCAUAUAUACUUCCCAAUCUCACGGGUAAACCAAUUACCAUGGUUCCCGACAGGGGAAUAUGUCAGCUCCCUAUUGAAAUCCAAAUCUACAGGCUUUCCCUUGUUUGCCCGUAUUAUCUUUGAUAGUUGAAUAUUUUUUGCUAGGCCUCUUCUUUUUUUAGGGAGCUCAGCUGAAAAAUAUAAUUAAAAAUAUUAGUCACGAUAGCUUAUAAUAAAUGGAUAAAAACAUCUAACAAAUAUAUCAUAAUAAGACUUAUCAUCUUGUUCCUGUUGACCACGACCAAAGCCUAUGGGAGGUGGUGGAUCCCCGGCUCCAUCACCUCCAUGUCCUAAACCCAUAACAUCUGCCAUCACGUACAAGAGUAUCGCCCAACUAAACCCCAUAUACAACCUGCAAAAUUACAAUAUGAAUAGAAUUAUAGCAACAUAUUUUUUUUUCAUUUUUUUCAACACAUCACAUACAUAAAUACAUUUUUUUCAUUUAUUCCACAUAUUAUAAACAUAAAUACACACGUUAUAUAUACAAAUACACAUAAACUUGUUUUCUACACAUACUCAUUAUAACAUCAUACUUUUUUUUUUCUAUUAUAGCAACCUAACUUUUUUUGAUUUUUUUCAUACAUACAAAUUGCAUAUAUAAUUUCAAAACUCAUACAUUACAUAAAUAAAUACAUUUUUUUUUCGAUUUUUUCUACAUAUAUACAUACAUUAUAUAUACAAAUACACAUAAACAUGUUUUCUACACAUACUCAUUAUAACAUCAUAUUUUUUUUUCUAUUAUAGCAACCUAACUUUUUUUGAUUUUUUUCAUACAUACUAAUUACAUAUAUAUUUCAAAACUCAUACAUUACAUAUAUAAAUACAUUUUUUUUUCGAUUUUUUCUACAUAUAUACAUACAUAAAUACAUACAUUAUAUAUACAAAUACACAUACUCAUUAUAACAUCAUAUUUUUUUUUCUAUUAUAGCAACCUAACUUUUUUUGAUUUUUUUCAUACAUACUAAUUACAUAUAUAUUUCAAAACUCAUACAUUACAUAUAUAAAUACAUUUUUUUUUCAAUUUUUUCCACAUAUUACAUACAUUAUAUAUACAAAUACACAUACUCAUUAUAACAUCAUACUUUUUUUCUAUAAUAGCAACCUAAUUUUUUUCAUUUUUUUCAUACAUACAAAUUACACAUUCACAUUCACAAUUAAAACACAUACAAAUAACAUACACAUACAAAAAAAAUACUAAUGUAAGAACACACAAAUGCAUAAUACACAUAUAAACACAUUCUAUUUAUAAAAUGAAAGAUGAAAAGGAACCUGUGGUAGUCUAAUUUCAAAAUUUUCCGGCAAAAAUUCCACAGAUCCGGCAACAACUCCGGCAACAACUCCAACAACAACACAACCUUAAAUUAAAAGGUUAAACUAAGUAAAUAAACAUCAAAACAUAAGAAGAAUCGGAAAUAGGGAAGAACUUCGACCUUAAAUGGGUAAAAAUUCCGGAAUUGAAGUAUGAUCGUCUCCUCUUGGUCGUCGGUAAUGGAAGUCUAGGUCGCCGAUAUUGGUAGCAAUGGAGGUUUGGACGGCGGUGGUUUGUGCAAUGGAUGUUUGGACGGCGGCGGCUAUGGUGUAAGAAAGACCGGCGAUAUCGAUGGAGAGGAUGAGAGAAAAGGCAGACAAAAAUACGCAGGAAAGAGCGAAUCGGAGGGGUUAUCUGCACAGACUUUUAGCGGCAACGCCUAUUAGCGGCGACGAAUGGGUAUUAGCGGCGACGAAUGGGUAUUAGCGGCGACAAGCCUGGAGGGAAAAGUCAACGCCUUUUUUCACGUCGUUACAACCGUUCGAUUGAAUACAGAUUGAAUGGAUAGGGUUCAUUUGACGCAGAUCGCUACUGUUGAGUAUUAGCGGCGACAGUGGGCAUUAGCGGCGACAUGUAACGCGUCAUUUACAUGUCGCCGCUAAUGCCUAGUGUCGUUGCUAAAGCCGUCGCCACUAAUACCCACAUUUCUUGUAGUGUUAUAAGAUUAGCAAUUGAAAAGGGAUUAUCUUUUUAGGUAUUUUGUAUUAGGACAAUACCACAAACUCAAUGCACACUAGGUGUUUGUAAAAAUGCUAACAUGAUCGUUAAGUUGUUGAUUUCUCAAGUUUUAACUUUGAUUAAUCAAGUUUAUUGAUUAUUGUAGACAAAGGGUGGGCGAAAAGCUUGACAAGUAAACCAUGGGACCAAAAGGAGCUCAUGCAGUGCCAACUCACAUCAACUAACACACAAUCUAGAAGAAUUCAAAAGAUAUGGUACAUGGUCAUCCAAUGGCUAAGGGAAUCUUAUUCUGGCCCAUUGGUGGCUUAUAUGUAUGCACACAAACACAAUCUUGUAACAAAUAUUAUGACAUUCUAAGAACAUCUAAAGAUGAUGAAAAGAGGGACGGUUCUUGUUCCCAACUAACAAAUUAGUUGUUAUUUUUAAGGGGGGUUCAUGGCCAACGGUCUUGCAAAAGACAUUGUAAGGUAUUGCUAAACCUGGCCCUAAUUUCGAACUUUUUGAUCAGGAAGUCGUUAGUAAUGAAAAAUUAUGAUAUUACUUAUGGUUNUUUUUUUUUUUUUUUUUUUUUUUUUUUUUUUUUUUUGCAAUUUAUUCUCAUUUUCUAUGUCCAUUACUUUCUUUUUAAAUUACAGAUCAUACGUGGAUAUAGAAUGCCAUGAAACUGUUAAAUCAAAGUUGAAGAAAUUCUCAUUCUUGAACAACUUCAAGAGGAGAGCAUCAACGGUAAAACAAAGAUUCAAAAUUUAGGGUGUUUUAUUGCUUUUAAGUUUUGAAUUUUGUAUAUCUUGAAUCACAGUAACUGGUGGAGUGGAUAAAACAAGGAUUUCAUAUGUGUGUGCAUAUGCAAAUCUAUCCGGGAAAGAUUAAAUUUCAUCUGUUUUGUAGGUAUGUUUAAGAAGGAGGCGUCGGAUGCAUUCUCUUCCGAAAGACGAAAUCAAUUUUCCGGACCUUGUUAUAGACAAUCCAUUAUAACCGGUAGAGUUUAUUUAUUUUUAUUAAAAUCGAUCACAUCCAUCCUCCCAGUUAAGUACUUCACAAAUUAAAAUAGAUGGGGUAAUUUAUUUUUAUUGUUAAAAAUCUAUUCAAUUAUAUGCUUUUCAUUUACGAGGCUUUCUAAAAUCUAAGAAUUUCCGACAAAUUACCUUUGAAAUUUUACUAUCUUCUUUUUUCACAUAACAUGUUUGGCAAAAUGUCAAACCAAGUGUGCUUGUAAUAUUGGUGUAUGUAGGAUACAAUUCCUAUUUUUGCACAUAUUAUGUUUGACAAAAUGUCACAAUGAAGUUUUAUCAGGUUUUCUUACAUAUUUUACAUAAGUUCAAUUAUUUUACACCAGAUUAUCGCAUCUGUAGUCAAUCCAAUAUAUUAGUUGAUUGAUAAAAAGUUUCAACAACUUAGGUCUUUCAUCUUUUGUCCUGUUUAAUAGGCUUUAUCUUCUCAACUUGCCAUCUCAUGUGUGUGUGUUUGUGCAAAUCAUAGUGUAUAUGUUAUUUCAAUGGCUUACAAGCUAUCCAAGAGAAAAAUUUAUGAUGAUUUGCAUUCAGUGCAUAUUUAUUAUUAUUAUUAUUAUUAUUAUUAUUAUUAUUAUUAUUAUUAUUAUUUGGAAAUGAGCAAAGGUGAAAACUUUAACAGAUUAGCAAUCUAUUUAUCCUUUUUUCUUCUUGUACCUUGUUGACACAUAUGAAAGCUAAGUUUUUCUGGUCAAUGUUGGCUUCUGAUUUUGUUGAUUGCGAUGCAUAUUUUGUCAGCGGAUCAUUUCGAAGAGGAACAUUAGCAUGUUCUCUGGCCUUGUCUAGGUUGAUGACAAGGUAUAACCUUAUAUUCUUUAUGUAAUAUUUAUUACUUUAAAAUCUAUUUUUUUUAUUAAGAAGGUUAUAAUGGGUUGGAAAUGGUCAACUUCAUGUAAGGUUUCACAUUUAUGUUUGCAACAAGUAAAAAGAUAUUAAAUGAAAAUAUAACAAAAAGUAAUGCACAUAAGGAAUUACUUAAACUAUCUUAUGGGUACUUGUUAAUCUUUGGAUGGAUGACUCCCACUCUUAGCGAACACAAAUAAGAAAUGGUCAAAUAAAUACAAGAUUUUUUGUUCAUUGCUGCAAUAAGUAAACAUACAAAAUUAAGAAAUAAAGUGGAGCCUGGUGAAAAUUGAGAUUCAUUUUAUGAGUUCUUGAGUGGUUUAUGUGACUAACAUGAGUGCAUGUGUUGUUGAUUUAUAUAUGCAACAGGAAAACAUAGGACAAAGGUGAAGCAAACCACGCUGCUAGGGAGCAGCUACUUGUUGAAUGAUAGACAAAUAAUUUAUCAAAGCAUAAAAGUUUUAGGCCUCAAAAAGCAUGCUCAAGUACUUAAUUCAUGAAUCUGUGUUGAUUUGAUGCUGCAAUCACUGACUCCUGGAAAAGCCUAGGACUUCAACUAAAUAUAAGAAAUGCCAAUCUACUUUAACUAAUUAUUUAUUAGAGCAUCCUACUUAUAUAGUACAUCUAAAAAUUUACCAAUUAAUGGAAUGUGAUCCAAAUAUUAUCGGUAUUUUUCCUGGAAUCACUUACAACAAGCUUACUAAUCAAUUCUUUAGGGCCGUGAUUAUGACGGCCAAAAUAAGGUUCCUAGUAUAUAUGUAUCGCUUUCACCAAAUCACUUUAAGGAUCUUCUACAUUAUAUCAAUAUUAAAUAAGGUUAAUGUUAUUUUUGACCAACCAAUUAUUUACUUUUAUUUUAUUUGGUCGUUGAUAUUUUUUAUGCAUUCUACAUUCUUAAAGUGUCAUUUUACGUAUAAGAAAGUCAUUAUUAGAAGGAAUAAGGGAGUAACAUGUCAUAGAGUUGAUACGGCUUGUGAUAUGACAUUUUAAGAAGCAAAACUUAUCAACGGGUGUUACAUGAUGUCCAUAAGACCUUUUAUAUUUGAUUAUAUAUUUUCUACAAUUCUUCAAAUUAUUAUUGUUAUUAUUAUAAACUUUAAUUCACCUCCCACCUCCUACCUCUUACCUCCCCCACCAUUAACAUCAUUGUCAUCGUCCGUUACCAUCACAUCAGCCGAUUUCCUCCACACAAAUGCACACAUCCGUCUGAUAAAGAUGAUACUUCUACUUUUUAGAAUCCGCUUUUGACCGCACCAAACACACACAUUUGUCCAUUAAAGAUGUUACUUCUAAUUUUCUGAAUCCAUUUUCCUUGACACCAAUUCAUCUAUUAAAGAUGUUACUUCUAUUUUUCCGAACCAACCAAUAUGUCGAAAUCAGGAAGCCAAAUUGGAAAAUGGAAUCAAAAGAGAAGAAGAUUAAAAAUAUAAUUGUGAAUCAAAAGAGAAUCCAAUUGUAACUACAUGGCAAAUGAGUCAUGUCGUGUGAAAAUUUAAACGGGUUGAAAAUGCAUGGCACGAACACAACAUGUUUAAUAAACGGGUCAAAAAAUGUCAACCUAGACAUGACACGCUUAAACAUCUCAAAUCGACACCACAUGACUAACCCGUAUAACCUAUUUGACCCAUUUAACUCAUUUGACUCGCUUAAGUAGUAUUACACUGAAGUAGAUUUAACCCGUUUAACUAGUCUAACGUGAAACCAAUCCUUUUUUAAAAUAUUAGCCAAUCAAUAUAACAAAAAUUAAUUCACUUCAAAAGCCGCUCCUUGACUCUUAACUCUUAAGGAAGCCACACUUUCACGAGCCAGCACUUAUAAGUGAGUAUCCUCAAUGCCUCUUAAAUCCUUGUACAUCCAUGCAUUUUAUAGCUACAUUCAUCUCUUCCACUUUUUUAAACCAAGUUUACCUUGUGUUUGUCCGAUUGACCGGCAAUUAUAGAAUUUUUAUAUCUAAUCAUUCUCUAUCCAUUUCAUAACAUUCAAGUCCUCAAUGGUCACAUACCUCAAAUCCCAACUUUCACAAAUUGACAACUAUAAUACGGAACCAUCAUAAUUUUCAAAUUUGACUUCAAUAAUCUUAUAACUAAUUCUUACGAUCAAUUCUAUCAUUAUUAUUUAAUUAAUUAAAUUUUAUUUCAUUUAGUUAAAUAAUUUUAUUUUAGCUUCCUAAUUUUUAUUUUUUACUAAAAUAGACAAAAAAAAACAUUUCUAAGUUAUAAAUGAGAAUUUUACAUUAAUGAGGAUGUUACAUUGUCCUUGUGGUUAGGAGUGUUCAUAACCGGAUAUCCGAAAAUUCGGAUAUCCGAAUUUCGGAUAUCCGAAAUUUCGGAUAGUUGAUUUUUGGUAUCCGAUUCCGUAUCCGAAAUUUCGGAUAUCCAAAAUUUCGGAUACGGAAUCGGAUACCAAAUCGGAUAUCCGAAAAAUUGAAAUUUUGUUAAAAUUUGAAAAACAUAUGAAGUUUUUAAGUUAAAAAUACAUAUUUUUAAAUUAGAAAGGCAUAUGAAGUAAUAUAUGUAUUUAAUUAAUGGUGUUAUCAAUAUGUUUUAGUUACUAAAAUUCAUAUCAUAAGACAUAUGCGACUAAAAUAACAAAUAAUGUAUAAAAUAAAACCAAAAUUUUCGGAUAUCGGAUAUCCGAAUUAUCCGAAAAAUCUGAAAAGCAUUAUCCAAUUCCGAUUCCGAAAAAUUGGAUAUCCGAAAUUUCGGAUAUCCGAAAUUUCGGAUAUCCGAUUUUUCGGAUAAUUCGGAUUCGGAAUUUCGGAAUUUCGGAUCGGAAUUUCGGAUACGGAUAUUUUUGAACACCCCUACUUGUGGUAUGAUAUCCGAAUUUACCGAACAUAUGCUAUUUUACGACGAGUUCACUUCUAUAGUGAAUUAGUUUUAGACAUUUAGUUACGUAUUUUCAAAUUUUGACAUCAUGAUUUAUAUACUAAUAUUGUACAUCAAUAUUAUUGUAUAUAUUAGCUUAGUCGUGGGUUAGUAGAGUUUUGAUAUAUUUUUCAUCAAAAAGCUAUUUCACACUUAACUAAGUUUUGAAGAUGAUGCUUAUUUUGAAAACUUCUCAAAAGGAUGGUAGGGUUGUUAUAUGUAAUUAAAGAAAGUGUUUAUUGUGGUGAAUAUCCCAAAAAAUCCCCUCCAUUUGUAUACACCAAAUUCGUAGGGACUGAAUCUGGUAGCUUGUAAUACUAAGAGGGUUGAAAUUGACAUUUUCUCUACUGGACGGUAUCGAAGUGCGCUCUUUCAAAAUCGAACUAAAUAGUAAAUACUUGACAUUUGGCCCGCCAAAGUGCUAACCAGUCGAUUGAUCCAUCCAAAGUUUCAAAUUAAGCAUUGUUAGCGAUUGUUCUCAUUUGGAAAUUUUGAUUCAUGAUCUAGCAGGAUUUUAUUCUUUUGUAUUUGUGAUUGUCGAUUCUGUAUGGUGUGAUUCUGUAGCAAUUUACAGGAAAAAUGACGCAAGAUGUUGAUAUGAAAGAACAACAGGUUCCGGCGUCACCUUCGAGCUCUCUUGAAUCUAUGUCUCAUCGCGUUUUGCAGCGUAAGAAUGUCUAUAAAUUUGAUUCCGAUGAUUGUUUUAUUUGAUCAUAUAGUUCGUUUCUUGAUAAACUUGAUUUAAUUUCUUUGUUGUGGAACAAUUGAUGUUAUAAAAUGUGUGCGUUUACUCUACCAACAUCGUUUGUUUUUAUUUACUUAUUAGAGUUGAAAUUUCGAAUUCUUCAUGGAGAUCAUGUGAAAAUUGGCUUUCAGAUUUUAAAAAAAGAGUUGUUGAACUGAUUGAGGGCGGAGCUUACACUGGUAAAGUUCGUUGGAUUUUGAGAGCCGUUAGCAUUACAAUCGUGUUAAGAUGGCGGUUAAAAGUUUCUGUGAUCUAUCCGUUCCUUAAUUUUGCCCUUACAACUGGAUCGGAAGCACACUCUCGUUUAAUUUCAUUUUUUCCAAAGGUAGGUUACUUUUUGGCUUUGUGAAUCUCGAUGUUUAAUAAACUUCCAUUCAAUUAGUCAUCUAUUCUAUGAGGCACAUAAUUAAGCAUCUCUUUCGCGAAUUUCCUUGACACUAUGUUAUAUAUUUCGAAUGUACAGCCCAAAGUAACGUGGAACUUGAUUUCAAAUACUUGUUGGUGAAAUUGAAAACAAAAUGAUCUGAAUGACAUAAACAUUUGCAUUUGGUUUGAUAUAUUAUAGGAUGAUGAUCAUGAGAUGGAAGUUGAUACUGCAUCAUCUGCAACUCAAGGUACUGUUAAUCACUCCCAUGAGAUGGAGAUCUACUGCUACUUCCUUGUGCUGAUAUUCCUAAUUGAUCAGAAAAAGUACACUGAGGUGAGCAUAUAUGUUUAGAUUACUUCAUCUUGGCAAUUGGUCAAUUGGUCAACUCACCUUCAUAUUAUGCAGGCUAAGGCUUGUUCUUCAGCAGGCAUUGCCAGUUUGAAAAACUCGAACAGAAGAACAGUUGAUGUUCUGGCAUCCAGACUCUACUUCUAUUACUCUCUUUCUCAUGAACUUAGCAACAGUCUCUCUGAAAUUCGUGGGUGAGUGACAAAAGGGUUAUGUUUUUCAAUUAUCAACUAGAUUGUGACCAAUCAUACUUUAUCAAUUUAUCUGGCUUGAAUAAGAUGAUGAUGAUGAUGUUUAAUUACAUGCAGUAAUCUCCUUGUUUUGCACCGGGUUGCUAGGUUGCAUCAUGAUGAAUUGGGGCAGGUUUGUUUCUCAAUUUUGUUACUGUGACUAGUUAUCUAUCAUUAUUAUUAGUAUAUUUAUUUGUUAUUAUUAUUUGUAUUAUUAGUAAUAUUAUUAUAAUCAAUGUUUCUGGUGAAUCAUUUUAUGUUGUGUGAUGAGCAGGAAAGACUCCUAAACUUGAUACUUCACAACUACCUUCAUUACAAUUUGUAUGAUCAAGCAGAGAAGUUUAGAUCAAAGGCACCACCUUUUGAAGGUCAUUCAAAUCGCCAGGUAAUUCUUCAUUUGAUAAAUCAUCAAUUCAUCCUUUGAAAGGUUCCAUUUGUUAAAAGGUUUGAUAUUUGCUUCAUAUGGAGGGUUCGAUAUUUGAUAUACAGGAGCAUUUCAUUAUUUUAUAUUCGAUAUUUGUAUUUUUUUACAGUUUUGUCGUUACCUGUUUUAAGCAGAAAGGAAUCUCUUCUCCAAGCUGCCCGAAAAGCCCCUGUGGAGAGAUCCCUUGGUUUCCGGGUCCAAUGCAACAAGUGGGCCAUCAUUGUUCGUCUACUUCUUGGAGAGAUUCCUGAACGAACCCUUUUUAAGCAGAAAGGCAUGAAGAAUGCAUUGAGGCCUUACUUUGACCUCACAAAUGUAAGUUCACUUCAAUUACAAUAACCCCCAGUUCAGUUGUAACUAACUAACUAACUAACUCAAUUCUGACUUUUGACUUCGACUUGAAUAGUGAAAUCCAUCAAGCAUGUAAUUUGACAAAACUGGAUUUUGUUCAUUUGGCAACCGAACAUGUCACGGAACGGAAUCUCGAAUUCCAAAUCCCGUGAACCAAACAUGCCAUUCCAUUCCAUGGAAUCUCUAAUUCCUUCAUUUCUUUUUUCAGGCGGUUAGAAUUGGAGAUCUGGAACUAUUGAAAACUGUCGCCGAGAAAUUCUCCACCACUUUCACCUCCGACCGAACCAACAACUUAAUCGUAAGACUCCGCCACAACGUCAUAAGAAACAGACUCCGCCACAUCAGCAUCGCAUACUCGCGUAUCUCCCUUGCUGACGUGGCAACCAAGCUCCGACUGAACCCAUUAAUUGCUGAUGUGGAGAGCAUCGUGUCAAAAGCCAUCCGUGAUGGUGCCAUCGAUGCCAUGUUGGAUCAUGCAAACGGGUGGAUGGUUUCUAAGGAAACGGGAGACAUCUAUUCAACAAACGAACCACAAAUUGCUUUCAAUUCUAGAAUUGCCUUCUGCUUGAAUAUGCAUAAUCUGGCUGUACGUUCCCUUCGCUUCCCGCCAAAUUAUCAUAAGGAGCAACAGGUCGAUAGCGAUAGCGAUAGCGAUACAUCCGAUGAAGAAUAUGAUGACGAAUAUUGAUUUGCUUGUAAUACUCCAUCUCAACGUUUUUACUUUUAUACUAAAACUAAAACUAAAUCUGAACUGAUGAUAGAACAGGAAUUGAAUGAUUGAACUGGAAAAAGAAAAAGAUUAGUUCAAGGAUAUACUAACCUAGGCUACUAGCAUUGACCUAACCUAUCUAACAGAAAAUGACCUUAUUGCCCUCACUAACUUUACUUUAGCCGCAACCUAAAGAAAUACACCCAAGACUCGAGCAACAUCUAUUCUUAUUAGAAUAUUAUGUUUUGAAAAAGGUACCCGUUAACAUAAAUAAAAAAUUGUUUUAUAUUUAGAUAACAUUGUUAUAAUUAGAAAAAAAAAAAACAACAUCGUUAUAAUUAGAAAAAUUUUCAAAAUACAAUGCUAUAAUAAAUAAAUAAAUGAAAGUAGGUUGUUUUCAAACAUGUUAAAAUUGUAUUUCUAGAGGUCUUAUGUUUUCUCUAUGAUCUUGUGUUAUUGGCCUCAUCUCCUAUUUCAGAUUACCUUUUGGGCUAAAUGUAAGAAACAACAAAGUAGUUUCAUUUAUUGGCUUUUUUAGCGUCUAGUUUCAUUACUUCUUACUACAAUAUGGAACUUGUAACUUUUUUCUUAUUAAGACAAUAAGACAUUGUACUUUGUAUUUUUAAAAAUCUACAUGAUUUUAGAAAUGAACAUUGUUUUUUAUUUGAUUGAAAUUGUUAUACUUCAUAGAUUCUUUAAAGUACAUUGAUGCAUAGGAAGAAAUGAGAGUAGGGUGUUAUAAUAAACAAAUAAAUCAAAGUAGGUGUCCUUUUGAUUAUAAUUUGUUGUUUUCGAAGAUGUUAAAAUUAUAUUCUUAAAUGUCAAAUGUUUAGGAUAUGAUCUCAUGAUAUGAGUGUUGUGAGAUUUAUCUCGUAAGCUAAAUGCAAAAAGUAGCAACAUAUUUUCAUUUAUUUGUUUAUUAUAGUUUUCUAAUUUCAUUUCUUUUGUUGUACUUUCAUUUUUUCUUUCUUAAAGGCCUAUUACCUCAAAAAAUGUAUCCUAACUCUUUCAACUUUUUUCCUUAUUAGGACAUAUUAAUUUUUUUACCCAAUUAUAGUAAUGAAAAUUACCUUGUAUUUGAUUGACAUUGUGACUUUCCAUACAACGUUGUACACAAUAAAAUGAAAGUCGGAUGUCAGAAUAAACAAAUAAAUAAAUUUAUGUUGCUAUCUCUCGCAUUUGAUCACAUUUCAUUGGAACUCUUUUAUUUUAGAAGUGAUAAUUUUCGAAAAACAUGACAUCCCGUUCUCAUAAUUGACGACUUAUCAUAAUAAACAUUCCAAAACAAACAAACAAACAAAACAAAACAACACCCACUCGCACCUUUUUUGAAUGGACGCUUUAAGGCUUCUUUUAAGUUGAGGGGCUAUAAUGAAUUAGCCCACUAUAAGCGUCCGAACCACAACUCACCUUUGAUUCUCAUAUCGGUAUCUGCUUUAGUAUGCAUAACAAGGUCCUUGGGUCUAGCCCAACUCCCACAAGGAGGAAUGGAAGGAUUAUAGUUUGGAAGAAUGGAAGAGUUUUGAUAAAUAAAGAAAACUUGAAUGAUGCCGACUCAUUAAAUUAUCUUGCAUUGUGAUUUUAUAAUAAGAACGAUUUAUUUUGAAUAGGGAAAACAAAGAUAAUAAGUCAUAACGAGUAAUCAUUUAUUUUAGUACGUCAGUAAUUUUGAUCAAUUUAUUUAAAGGUUAAUAUAUUCAAAUCAUAUUUUUCAUUAAUGAAUUGCAUGUACAAGUAAGCUAUAAAAUAUGUCAAAUGACAAAUAUUGUCUAAAAUAACUUUAAAUACACAUCAUAUAUCAGUUUGCUAAAAAAAAUAGCAUUUUGUUUUGUUUUAAUAAAUAAAUUUAUAAUGAUUUUCAUAUGGUGAUUUUUAUUAAAAUCCAAAACAACAAUUUACCUAUUUUAUUUGGAAAUCAAAAUAGUCAUUGUUUCAUACGAGGUCCGUUCUAUCUAGAAUGUAUUCGAGGAUUGAUAUCGCUUCGAUGUGUUCAACUUUGAUGUAGAACCAAGAUGACACUAAAAAUGAGGGUUUAUAAACAAAUACAGAAGUAUUGUUUGAUUGAAGCAAUGGUAUGGCGUCCCACAUCGGUGGCUCCAACGAAAGUUGUUGGGUUUAUAUUGCUUCGCCUUCGAAUAUUGUUUGUCCCUUCGGUUGCAUCCGGUAAAAUUGGAAUGAUACAGAGAAGAUUAGAAUGACCCCAUGUCUAAUGGUUUAGGAAACCAUGUUAAAAAAGCUCCAUGAGCUUAUCAAUAAACAAUCUCGAAUUGUAUUUUAAAAAUCUAGCUUAUAAGUAAUUUACCGGAUGUAUAUUAAUUUUUCUUGAACUAGAAACAUAAGUUUAAGUUGUUAAUGCAAUUUACCGGAUGUAUGUUAAUUUUUCUUGAACUAGAAACAUAAGUUUAAGUUGUUAACGCAUUAUAGUACAAUGAGAUGUAUGUUAAUUUUUCUUGAACUAGAAACAUAAGUUUAAGUUGUUAACUGAAAAUAGAACAAUNUAACGCAUUAUAGUACAAUGAAUGUUAAUUUGUUACAUAGGAGCGGUCUGGACGACUGGAGUAUCUUUCAAUGAAAAUGAAAUAGUUUACACAACUUAUUAACACUAAACUUACCAACAAAUUUACGCAAAUUUAAAACCUACAAGCUACAUUACCAUUAGACUUCGAUGACUUGAAACUAGUGUUGUUCGAGGUGGCAGUUGACAUCCUAUAACUUUUUGUUUAGGUCUGGAAGAUGUUCUGCUAAGUGAUAGUACUGAUUUUUUUUUUAAGGGAAGUGUAUUAAAGAAGCUUAUGCACACUUUGAAAAAUACGUGGUCAAAGGGGGUGCCACAUGGUUCCCUCUCAUUCCUUUAAAACAUUGAAACUUUAUGGAUCCACUGGAUCCAUAAAGUUUCAAAUUAUCUACUAACUAAAUUAUCAUCUGAUUGAAGCAAUUCUAUGGCCUCCCACAUUGGUGGCUGGAACGUAAGCGUCUGAGUUUAUCAAGCUCCGCCUUCGACUAUAAUUCGUCCCUCCGGGGACAUCCGAUAAAAUUGGAACGAUACAGAGAAGAUUAGCAUGGCCCCUGCGCAAGGAUGACACGCACAAAUCGAGAAAUGGUCCAAUUUUUUUUUUUUGCCCUAGUUCGUUCGACCGAUUUUGCAGUUGUUUUUGGCCCUAAAUCGUUUCAAAGGAAAACCAUGGUGUUUGUUCGACUCACCGGGUACGAUUAAUGGCUUCCCUCGUUGUUUUCACCCAUAGCAGCUUGCUCAUAACAAAUGAUAUGAUUCGUUGUUUAUGGAUGUAGAUAGAAUCAAUGUAUCGACCGAUUUUGCAGUUGUUUUUGGCCCUAAAUCAUUUCAAAGGAAAACCGUGGUGUUUGUUCGACUCACCAGGUACGAUUAAUGGCUUCCCUCGUAGUUUUCACCCAUAGCAGCUUGCUCAUAACAAAUGACAUGAUUCGUUGUUUAUGGAUGUAGAUAGAAUCAAUGUAUUUGUUUUGGAGGCAGGAUAAGUGAAUCACUGUUAAUAUCUAUGCCUGAAUUGUCUGGUAGCAGUUAAUAAUCAAGCAUGAAGUUUGUUGAAGUAAUUUCGUCUUUAGAUGUUGAAAUUGGGGUUUUUCUUGAGUGAUUUAGUGUAUUCAAAUGCUUGUCAAAAUGCAAAAAGAACACCAAAUUAUGUGAGUGAGAAUCAGCUAUGCUAACAAUCUUACCUUUGCCAUUAUAUCAAAGUAGUUUUAAUAGUAAAAGUUACAACAUUCAAGAAUCUGUAGAAAAGUUACAGGCUUACAGCAUUCAACAUUCAACAAUCUGUAGGCAAGAAAUCAACUCUAUGAGUACUAAAUUCAUCCAUCAAGAUCACUAAAAUAUACAAGAUUCAUAGAUUACUAGAAAACAUCUCCAUAAUCAUUUGACAUAGGUCACCAUUGUUUUUCACCAAUUUACAUGUCACAAACCUUGGCUCACAUCAUUACUCAUUACAUGAAAUGCAUCCACAUUUUCUCUCUGUCUCUAUAAUAAUAAUAAUAAUAAUAAUAAUAAUAAUAAUAAUAAUAAUAAUAAUAAUAAUAAUAAUAAUAAUCUUCCAUCCAGGGUUUCAAAAUGAACCAUUUGAGUUCCCUAAUGUACUUACAUCAUUUUACCCAUAAUAACAACACACUUACAAAUAACAGUACAUUUGCUUGUAUAGGUAACAUGAGUGAAGCAUGUUGCUAUUCCCUGUAUUGUUCCCUAUCAAUUAUUCAUAUUUUCAUAUGCUUUUGUAGGCUACUUCUAUAUUCUUUCAUUGUAUACAUUGUUUACUGCUUUCUAAUAUAUAUGUUUCUAAAAUGUUAUGUUCCAUCACAUUUAGUAUAUGUGUGUCUUGCAUUUAAUCCCAAUAAUUGAUGAUGAAUACUUGUGUCGUGUUUCCUUCAUCCCGUUUUCAUGAAUUUGGAAUUGAGUAGGGUUUGUUUUCUCGUAAUUUAAGGUAUAUAUAAUACAUUUUGUUAACAAUAAAAAAUUUCUUUCAAGUUAUCAAAUGCAGUGCAGGUACAACCUUUAUUGUUUUUUUUUAUCUGCAGUUGUCAUGUACUCCUGCAUAACAAAUGGAGCCUAGUGUUUACACUUCUUACCCAUAAUUUCUUGUUUUUUUUUCAGGCUGUUAGAAUCGGACAUCUCGACCUUUUCAAAACAGUUGAUGAGAAAUUCUCAACCAGUUUCACAACAUCAGCAUCUCCAACUUUUGUUGCUUUCUGUUACAUAAUAUUUUCAAUCUUUUUUUUUCUUAUCAAAGCAUUUUACUUUGGGAAGUGUAUCCAAAUUAUAUAUGGAUAGAUUUCAGUUUUUCCUUAUAUGACGCUUGUUUUCUAUAGAUGGGUAGAUUACUCAAAAUGUAAGGUUGUAUAGAAAAAAUAAAUGAAAGUUAGAAUGUUAUUAUAAACAAAUAGAAUACAGUUUUUUUUUUCUUGUAUGUAACCCUCACCUUUUUAGCCCCUUCACAUCUUAUUGAAAUUCUUAUAUUUUGAAAGCGGUAAAUUAUUUAAACAAAUGACCCUCAAAUCACUUUCAGUCCUAGAAAUGCAUUCCCCUUGCUGUUGGGACUAUCCUUGGAAAUUGUUUGUGGUAUCACAUCAAGUCAGAAAAAACGGUUAAAUAAUAUUUCCGACUACACAUGUUCAUGUGAACUUUAGGUGUGGGAACAUUAAACAGUCUACUUGAAGUUAAAUAAGGCUACAAAUACCAUCAAAAAAAGAUCCAACAUGACCAUUAAUCUUUAUAGAAGGCAAAACGUCUUUGCAAAUAGAACCAAUAUCAAAUACAUCAUGUCGACAAAAGAGAAUAAAGUAUAAUGCACAUGACGUUUACUGACAAGUCUCUGUGUUAAGCUGUUAGUUAGUGAAGGUAGGUUAAUUUUGUAUGAAAAGGGGUCAAAAGUAUGAGUUGUUAGUUUAUUAGUGCAGUAAACACACAUGAUAACUUUUAGGAGGGUUAUGCACAUCAAUUUAAUAAUCUACCAUCUUUCAUGAAGUUCAAAACUUAAGUUAGUCAAGUAAUUAAGACGACAUAAGGUUAAGUUAGCUUAUCAUAGUUAAUGAACAAGAUGACUAUGAAAGGUUUGGACCAGACAAGUUUUGUCUAUAAGUUAAGGAAGAGGAAUUGAGGAUGAUUAUGAAAGGUCAUUCAUAUCUUUUGCAUAAACAAUAGAUUGAGAGUGAGUCAAUACACUGUCCUAUCUUAUUCUACCUACUUUUUGGAUGGGACAAAAAAUAGCAAUUUUUGUCGUGUUGACUUGAUAUGGAUUGAUAUGGGUAAAAUCAAGUGCAUAAUCGACAGUCUUUUGCACUAAUUACCAUGAUGAGAUUGAUCUUUUAGUCAAGAUUUUUACAACACUGAUCGUAGCAAUUUUCAACCUGAAAAAUGGUAUCUAAUUGCCUUUUGACAUUUUUUUGCUUAUCUGGCAUUACAAAUACCAAAUUUGAAUUUAAGCAUUACAAGUUUUUUGCAAUUAUGGGUAGAAAUUGGUACGUAUGUUGCUAUUAUUAAAGUACAUUGCCCAUAUCGUUAAAAGAAAGGAAUAACACAUUGCUAUUUCUAGCAGUUUUCUUAUUUUAGAACUUAAGAUAGUAAGCCAAAACUUGCAACUGAAACAUAUUAUGCAGACUUGAGAAGUAUAGGAUAUAAGGUUUCAUUGUACUAUGGAGUGAAUGAAAUCUGUAACAAUCUUAGUCAAGGUUUCAUUGCCAAUUAAUCAUUGUACUAUGCAAAACAAAUAUUAAUGCAUGAUGCUAAUUUGAACUAUUGUAAACUUCAUAACCAUUUUGUAUCAUUUGAGAAAUGCCUAACUAAAAUCCCGAUAUAAUUUGAGCUAUUGAUUUGUUUAUCAUAGCAUGAAGUAUGCUGGCAUGUUGCAUGAGAGUAGGAUGCUAAUAAUGUGUUAUCAGAGUUUGGACUAAAUGAGCUAUUAGAUUUAAAAUAAAAAUUAGAGCAUGUAUUUGAGAAGCCUAAAUGUACCAAAAGCUUAACUGAUAAAACUAAUAAUAACAUGAUUACAAUCUUGUAUUUGAAUAGAAAUGGGGCACGUCAUUAAUUAUGAAUUUUUGAUAAUGUUUUUUGCUUUGUUGUAAGGACUAAAAUUCAAGCAAGGAUAGUUGAUGUGGCUGAUGGUCAAAACAAAGAUAAAAAGAGGAAGCUGAAAGUGAUAAUGCUCUGAUCUUGAAGGACUGAAUCUGGAAGUUUACGAAACUGUAUAAUGUGAAAGUUAAAAAAGACUUGUUUUAAUGGAAUGAGAUUCCUUAAAGACUAUACAAAUAUUAACUUUCUAAUUACGAACCAAACAUGUAUUUUCCCAUUCCUUUAUAACAGGACCAUUUAUUUCUUGAUUUGUAACGGUUGAGUUUGUAAUAAAAACUUUUCAUCCUUCAUAAUUAAGAUGUAUCAUUUUAUAAAAAUGUCAUUAACACAUGACCAAAUACUUGAAAAGAUUUGCAAUUAAUGAUCAUUCCGUUAACCUCCAACAUAAUAGAGAGCAUCACAUACAAGAAUUCAAUCUAAAAAAACUUCAUCUCCAUUUCCAACUUAUCCAGGAACUAGUCAACUGACUACAAAACUGGAAAGUUUAAAUGGCUACAAAACUGAAAGUAGGAAAAAUCAUCCGGUGUUUGUUUUACAAUAAAAUAAUAUCCGACUAAGAUUUCAACCCCGUGACAAUUAGGCUUAAGAAAAGGCAAUCAGACUCCUUAAAUAUCAUUAAGGCUAGACACUUGAUCAAUUCAAAUGGUAAAGAGAAAUAGAAAUCAAACCAUAAAUACCACGAAUUUAACAUGGUCCAAAGCAGCCUAAAAAUAAACUGAACCAAAAUGUCGUACACGUCAUGCUAACAAGAGAGAAUCUAGAUAUAAUGCUAGACAUGAAUGUAAGAAAUAAAUCAACAUCCACAUAAGUUAUAUUAUAACAACAAUAGAUAAAAGUGGAUGACUUAAUAUUAUAAAAGUCCUAAAUUUUUAACGAGUAAUUGGAAAAAGCCUUAAUAUUUUUUUUUAUUAUUGUUGUGGUCACAACUUUCUCGCAGAAUUAUCACUCUAGCCCACUUAACGAGUUUCAUGGUUAAGUUGGUUAGAUUUUUUUGCAAAAUUAGUCCUAAAAAGUUGGUUAAAAACUAUGUGGUAUAAUUUUUUUAAAACCUCAGCGACUAACACUCUAGCCCACUUAACGAGUUUCAUGGUUAAGUUGGUUAACUUUUUUGCAAAAUUAGUCCUAAAAAGUUCAAAUUUAGUCGCUCAGGUUUUAAAAAAAUUAUACCACAUGGUUUUUAACCAACUUUUUAGGACUAAUUUUGCAAAAAAUUUAACCAACUUAACCAUUAAACUCGUUAAGUGGGCUAGAAUGAUAAUUCUGCGAGAAAGUUGUGGCCACAACAAUAAUAAAAAAGAUAUCAGGGCUUUUACUAAUUACGCGUUAAAAAUUUAAAGCUUUUAUAAUAUUAACCUAAAGUGGAUUUGAUUGAUGUUAUGCCAUCGGAGUCCGUUGCACCAUGAUCAACAGUGUACAAUCCUUGCUACAAAGUGUGUGGCUUUUUUGGAUUCCUAAUAUUACCUUGUUUUUAAAAUGGAUUUUUGUUACAUAUUAUUAAGUGUUGUGAAAUAUCAAAAGGAUUAUUGUUUACAAGAAUUGAAGGAUUUGAGAUAAAUACUCAAAAGAUAAAACAUAUUUAAUUUUUUGUAUAUUGUUUUUCUUAUUAUAUAUUUUGCAACAAGGAUGAUUUAUUUUAACGAGAAAAAAUGAACAAUUAAAAUGAGAAAGCUUUAAUUUACUUAUAGACAAAUGUAUUCGGAUUAUAAUUUUCAUUAAGGGAUCAUAUUGACAAAUUAAUAUAGAAAGUAAAAAAGGUCAAAUAAGCUAUAAAUUAGUCUAAAAAAAAAAAAACUAAAAUAUCUUUAAAGAUUUAUAAAUUAUAACUUUUGUUCACCCAAAACAUCUUAAAAUGAAUAGGAGUCGUCUUUUAGGUUUGGUGCAUGAUAGGAUUUCAUCAUCUUCACCUUGAGGUGGUAAAACUGAAAAGAGGAACAGUCAAAAUUAGGGCUUUUACAACCAAAUACUUUAACUAUCGUCUGAUUGAAUCAAUGCCAUGGCCUCCCACAUCGGUGGUUUGUACGCUAUCCUUUGAGUUUAUAUUGCUUGGCCUUCGAGUAUAGUUCGUCCCUUCGGGGACAUCCGAUAAAAUUGGAACGAUACAGAGAAGAUUAGCAUGGCCCCUGCGCAAGGAUGACACGCACAAAUCGAGAAAUGGUCCAAAUUUUUUUUUUUGCCCUAAUUUGCUCGAUCGAUUGCUCUUCAAAUUCUUUUAUGUCUGGAUUUUGAGUUGAUUUCUGACUCAACAACUUCAAAGAAAUACCGCUAAUGGAAAUCCGCUUCAACUUCGUGCCAUUGUUUGCCCUAUCUCGCUAAAACGGCUUCCAAAUUUUUUGUUUAGGGAAUUGUUUCUCCGAUUCACAAGCUACGACAAGGUACUGUUAAUGACUUCUGAUAAAAACUCUUACUUAUUUCUAGUUUUUAUGCAGCCUGUGAUGCGUAUGUAUAUGAUUCACAUAUAGAUGGAAAUGUGCUCCUUAACAUCCUUGAAUAGUUUGGUCGAAUCAAUUAAUAAUCAGGCAUAAGUUUAUGAUACAAGUUUGGUUUUUACAUGUUGAGAUUCAGACUUUUCAUGUUUAUCUGAUUGUAUUCGUUAAUUUCUGUUGGUUGUCUUUCUUCUAAUUGGUGCAACUUCUUGAUUUAUCAUAUGUCUUCAACAGCAGUUAACAAUCAAACAGUAUAUAAGGUUGCUUACUCUAACAUACUUUACUCAUCUUCUUUGUAGUUUAGAAAUUAUAAUGUUUAGUUUGUAUUAAAGCUUCAAGUAUACUUCUGCAAAAUAUUAAAUAGAGGGAAAGAAAAAAUGCAUCUUAUAAGCUUUGAUACAUGAUUAAGUUCUAUCACUUUGCAAUUGGGUACGUUUUUAUUUAUUUAUUUAUUUAUUUUUUAACUUGAGAAGAUUUAACCUGAUAAGCUAGGUGUUUCUUUUUAACUUGAUGCAUAAAGAAUGCCUUAAUUGAGAAAGUUUAAGUUGUAACUUUUUUUUGGUUAUACUUAUACCCUCCAGUUUAUCAUCUCUUAUACAAGCAAGAUAGAUAAUACUAUCACCUUAAUUUCUCAUUUUUCUAUCAAUUAAAUGCUUACACCAUCAACAUCGUAUAAAUUACAUUUUUAGUCAAAUUAGUUAACAUUAACAUCACAAUGGUUACCAAUGAUUUAUAUGAGCUAAUUUUGAUUAGAAUUAAAUGAAAAAGAAAAGAUGUGAAAUGUAAUUGAUUCAUUUCUGGUUUUUUAGCUUUCAACUUGUAAUAUGCUGUUGAAGUUCCCCUACUUCUUCCCUUUUGUUCUAGCUCUAAAUGCAGACAUCUAUAAAUGAGGGCAACUUCGCAAAUAACUAGGACUUAGUUUGAAAAGUCUCACUACCCUGCCAUUCUCUAUUAAUUAAAAAAAAAAAAAAGAGAUAUCACAGAAAGCACUACGUAUUUUCAUUAUCCAUUUAACCACCAAAGUACUAUUUCUUGUUGGUUUAGUCACCAAACUAUUAUUAUAUUAAUCAUGAAAAAGUAUUAGUUCAUGGCUGAAUCGGUAAAAUGGUGAAAUUACUUUCUUCUUUAUUCUAAAGCGGUUUACUGAUAAGAAUGGUUGUUUAAAGGGUUCAAAAAUAUGUAGUGGUUUUAAUUACUACUCAUAAUAGGUAAAUGGAUAAAUCGAUAAAUUAGUGAAAGUACAAGUUCGUGUAUGUAUUUUGGGCAUAUUUUGACCUGUUUGACCAAUUUCAUUUUCAGCCAAGUUUUUCAUUUUGACCCAUUGGUGGUGCAAUUUUAAGUCUCAUUUGCUGGACAAGCUUUCCAUGGAUUGGAUGUGUUUGAUAAGGAGGGCAUUCAUGUCUUUUACACAUUUUCUUGAAUGGAACAAAAAAUGCAACUUUUGUCCAAUUAACAUCAGUCCUAGUUCUAGACCCACCAAAUGUAGUACAAUAUGUUUUGUCCUCUCUUGUCUUGCAUUACAAAGCAUAUAAUCGAGGAAGACAAUGACGAUUUUUGAUAGUUUCAUUUCUCUCCUGUUAUGACAUUGUGGUUUCAGUAUCUUUCUUAUUAAGAGUUUAAGACAUUGUACUAUAGAAAAUGUAUCCAGUUAUGGCAUUGUACUUUCAGAUUUUUUUUCAUUGUUAGGAGUUAGGAGGUUGGACUUUGAAAAAUCUAACUUUAUAGUAAUGGAAAGUGUUGUAGUUGAAUAAGUUUGCUAUAGUAUGAUGUUGACAUGAAGGAAACAAAAUUAGGAUAUUGUAAUAAAUAAAUAAAUGGAAAAACUUAUUAUAUGAUAAUAGUUUACUGUUUUUGAACUUGUUAAAACUGUAUUUUUUUUUUUUUUGCUACAAUGUCAUGUGAUCAUUAAGAUGCGAGAUUACCUUUCAGGCUAAAUACAAAACUAGCAACGGACUUUCAUCAAUUUGUUUAUUUAGCUUUCCCAAUCUUAUUGCUUUCUACUUUAAGAUUGGGUAAAUUUUUCAAACUACAAUGCGUGAUAUGAGGAAAUAGAAAUAUGAUGUUAUGAUAAACAAAUAAAAUAAUGUAAGUAGGUACUUCUUACAUUCAACAACCCUAAACUUUUCAAUUCUUGCAUUCUAGUAUUUAUGUAUUUGUAAUUUUACAAGAUAUUUUGUUGUAACAAAGUUUUGGUUUGGUUGGUGUAUUUGGGUUUUGAAACCUGUUUAAGGUAUUUUGAUUUUGAAUAAAAAGAGAAAAGUUCAACCUAUGUUUAAACCAAUUAAACUAUUAAUGCAUAUUAGAAAUUCAAUACAUAUUUAUAAAUUGUGCUUUCUUUUAUUCAUUAAACUAUUGAGUAUACGUUAUUGUGCAUAUUGUUGUUCGUGUGUCCUAAGUACAAUAAUUCAAGACAAGUAAGCAUUUGUUUUAAGGUGUAAGUAAUUUUGAUCAAUUUAUAUCUCGAUUUUUUUUUUAUUAUAUAGACGAAACAUUUGAGGAAAUAAAAAGAUUAAAUGGGUUAGAUACGGUGAACAAAUCUAAUAUCAUCUAAAUUAAAAAAAUAUGCUUGACAAACUUGUAAUCUUAUGUAUAGGUUUGUUAAAAAAAAAUAUAAUUAUUUAAAUCAAUAGUUUUGUAGUAAUAAACUUUAUAAGUAAACAAAUUAUUUCGAUCAUUUGUUCCAAAUAUUUAACAUCUUGAUUUCUAGGUAUGAAAUUCUAGGGAUUUCAUGCAUUUUAUAAAGCCUACUCGAAGAGUUGGAGGGCCUUAACUCGUUGUGUAGAAACAAAGAAGACCGUGUAUUUUAUAAGACCUAUUCGACGAGUUGGAAGGCCCCAACUCGAUGAGUUGGUGGCUGAUUAUGAAACUUUAGUUUUUAGGGUUUUGCACCCUAUUUAAAAACAUUAAGUCUCAUUGUUGGCCUCCCUUAUCACCUCCCCUGUCCAGUGAAACCUUAAUUCAUGCCUCAUCUCUCAUUUUGAGUGUGUGUGAGCUUGGAGUGUAUUUUUGGUGCUCUUUUGGAAGGAACUUGAAGCUUGAAGAGGAUUAAUUGAGAGGAAGGCUUUAGAUCCGGGAUUUUCACUGUUGUUGCAACCAUGUUGAGGUAUAAAGUCGAUUCCUUGAUCAUUCAUUUGCUAGAUCUCUCCAUUUGAGAGUUUAUUGCUAUUAUUAGCUUAUUUAGGACCAUUCUUGGAUUUGAGCAUGUUAUGAAGCUAUAACUUCAAAUCUGGACACCUCAUGGCCUCCAAGGACUUAAAGUUGCCAACUUUAUCAAGUCUUGGCCCUCCUUCAUGCUCUAAGUCCCUUAAUAAGCUUUGCUUGAGUAUUUUAGCUCCAUAAUGCCAUGAAUGGAUAUAAAGUUAGCAACUUUACAUGGUAUCUUAACUCUAGGGGGCCAGAUCUAUGGUUUGAGGCAUCAGAUUCACUUGGGAAAUGCCUGAAUGUGCUAAGACUAGGAAAAAUUGACGAGUUGGAUCGGGGUUUCGUUGACCUUCUGGAUACUAAGCAAACUCGGCGAGUUGUUGAGAUGACUCGGCGAGUUGGCUAGGGUUUUCUCGGUUUUUCUGAAAAACUAAAGGAACUCGACGAGUCAGUAGAUGCACUCGACGAGUUGGUCAACAUGGACUGUUAACCUUAGCCGAUUGACUUUGACUUUGACCAUGGUUGACCAAGUCUGACUUCUGAGGGUAUUUUGGGAUUUUGAUGGAGAUAGUCACAUUGUGGUUAUAGGUGGUGGAGUUCGGAGCUUUGAGUUGAAAGUUGGAUCUUGUUAGUCAGUGCUGCUUUUGAGGUGAGUUUUCAUCACUAUACUUAGGGGUCGAUGGCACCAAGGCCGGACCAUUGGAUUCGAUAUCCUAGUAGUUGUUGAUAAGCUGAGUAUGAAUUAGAUAUGCAUGCUAGUUUGAUAUGUUAGUCUGGUAGAUCUAUAGGAUUACCUAUGAUAUUGUCUUGUAAUCUGUAUGUGUAUUUAUGUGUUACAUGUCGACAUGUUGUGUAGGUUGAGUUGAGGUUGUACUGUUCUGUGCUGUAGCUAACGUGUAGGUUGUACUCACCGUAGUAUGGCUCAGAAGUAUCGAAUCCAUUGAGACCAGGUGCAACAUGACUGUUAGAUCCUAUGUCAGGGAACCACGAGGUAGUAGAUGAUGUAUGGGAGCGAUGGUCAGCGUAAUUGGCGGAUGGUUGUUUCGUCCGAAGGGUUGAGGUGUCACGGUUUCGGCAUUGAGAACAAAUGUGCCCAAUACCACACCUAUUGCAGGUGCCAUAAAUCAUGUUCUGAUUAGAGGCCCAACUGAACUGACCCUGGUUUCCACCUCCUUGAGGACGAUCACUUUGAGAGUGGUUGUUGUUGUAUCCACCACGUCCUCCUCGGCCCCUAUUAUUAUUGUUAUAACCACAACGAGUUUGUUAGAAUUAUUGUUACUUGAUCAAUUUGAGUAGAAAGCUUAUGGUGAGCUUGGUUGUGGUUGAAAGCCUAGUUGGGCCACUAAUUGUUGUAGGGCCUGAAGUGUCUCCAGUUGUACAGAAGAUGAGGCGGUUGAGUUGUGGUUUGUGAUGGCAGCCAUAAAAGCCUGGGCCGGUGCUACUGGUGGGGAAUGUUUCUUGAUCAUGUAGUCAUGAUCAUCGAGCAAACCAAAGAGAUCGGUGAAGACAAUGGGAGAUCGCCUCCCAAGUAAGGUAGACUUGAAUCCAGUGUACUCUUCUCGUAGCCCUGCGAUCACAAGCAUAACGAGAUCUGUUUCAUCUAUUGGUUUUUCAAUGUUGGCGAGUGUAGCAGAGUACUCUUGUGCUCUGGUGAGAUAUGCUGCAGAAGACUCAUCACCUUUCAUCUCAAUUUUGAGCAGCUGUGUCUUGAGGGUAUAUUCCUUUGAAGAAGUGUGAGGUGUAUAUGCACGUUCCAAAGAGAGCCAUAGAUCACGAGAAGUUGUACCUUGCACAUGCUAAAACGCGGCCUCAAUGACAAUCGACAACAAUAGCAUUCUGAUGUGUGCAUCAUUCGCAAGCCAUGCUGAGUAACUCGGGUUUGGAGUAGGUUCUGCAUCUUUUUCUGUUGAUUUUGAUGGUAGGGUGGGUUCUGGGCAAGGAAUUGUUCCAUCAAUAUAACCAAAUAGGUUGUUUGUGACUAAAAAAGGUUGAAUUAUGGCUUUCCAAUACCCAUAAUUUGUAGGGGAUAGAGUAAAGUCGAACUUGUGUGAGUUGUUUUUUCGGUUGUAGAAAAGGAUGUUAUAGCCAUUGAUUUGUUGUAUUAGAAUAAUGAAGGUUGAUUCGUGUAUCUAGGGCAGAAUUGUGUCUGCGAUUGAAGUGCAUCAAACAGAUGAACUUUAAUCGAUUAGGUCAGCAACAUCAAUUUAUAACCACACUAGUUUUUAUCAGAUUGUAUCACAAGAGAAUCUUGGCGGCAAGGAUCUAGAAGAUUGUGAUUUCAUGUAUAUGGUGGGAUCGUUUAAAGGGAUAAUGAAUAGGAACAGAUGGUUUCGACUUACGAAUUAGAGUCGGAAAAUGAAUUUGGCGGCAAGAUUAGGGUAACCAGGCUAUGAUACCAUAAACGACUUUAGGUAUCGACAAUUGUAUUGUGUUAUUGUAUAUUUGUGAAUGGUAAAUACAAGGGAUAUUUAUAGGAUACAAUAUUACACAAUAAUCCCUCUAAAUAUAAGAUAGAUAAUAAUAGUCUAAUAAAAACAACGCCCAAUUUCUCCUUUAAUUGUUAUUAUAGCAAUCUACUUUCGUUUCUUUCUAUUACAACAUUGUGCUUAUAUACUCUUUAAAUGAUUACAAUAAUAGGAAGAAGAUUAUGUGUACUUGUCUCUACAUUAGGACAAAGAAAAUCCUUAUUGAUGGGAAAACAUCGAACUUUAAUUGACGAAUUAAUUGAAAGUAGGAUGCCAAAAUACACAAAUAAGUUGAAGUACAUUAUUAUUUCUUGUAAUUGGAAGUUUUUAGAUCGGUGAAAUGCAAGAAACAGCAAGACAUGUCCAUGUAUUUGUGUAUUCUAACAUUAAAUCUCAUCAAUUAUAAGAAUAUCAUGGAAAUACAAAGCAAUUUGUACUACUUUAAAUGGGUAAACAUUUUAAAAGUUUAAUAUUCUAAUUGGGUAGGUUUUUUCAAACUACAAUACCUUAAUAAUAAAAAAAAAAACAAAUGUACAAUCUUGCAAAUAGGAAACCAAAAAAAGUGGGAUCUAUAAUACAAAAAAAAGGACAAUCUUAAAUUUCUUUGUUUAGUUUGGCAUCCUACUUUGGACAGCUAAUAACAUCCUAUUUUGGACAAUUCUUUUUCUUGGGAAAGAAAGAUUAAUAAGUUAACAUUUAAUAAAGAAAUGUUUGGUCACCUGUGUUGUUGUUUAACAGCCAAAGAAUUUAAAAAGAUACAUGAAAUAAUAUUGUACUUUCAUUUUUUGUUAUCAAUCAAAAUCAUGUAAUGUUUAAAAUAUUUCUCAUAAAUAAACUUAUAAAUAUAAAUGGCUUAUCUUACAAAUUCCAAUUACAUUCUGUGAUGAAAACGAAAAAGAAACACCUCCCACUUAAGGUAUGAAAAUUAAGAAAAAUGAAAAUUGAUGUGCACAAAAGUACCCACUAAUUUUAAUAUUUAUAACCCUACAAACUUAACUAACUAUGCACUUAUAGGCAGUGUACCUAGUCAGAUUAUAGUAUAGUUGGGGUAAGUCGGUUGUCGAUCACAGGGAACGAUGUUACUAAUUAAUUUACUUACUAUUAAAUUAACCUAAUUAUUAACAAGUUAAAAGCGGUUUUAUCUGAUUUUAAAAGAUCAGAUGAAAUUAAAUCAAAUUAAAUAAAUAAAAACACAGUCUUGUUUAGUUUGAAUCCACUUCUUCCUUAUGACUAGCUAAUGAUUACGGAUUAUUUAGUUGGUUUUUAGUUGUAUUAGUAAUUUAGUUCUAACUUUACCAAUAAUUAACUAAUUCAUGUCAAACCAUGUAUGUUCACACAUAAUUAAACACAAAACUAAUUAUGAAUGUAAAUAUGCUAUGUAAGAUUUGUAAUAUAAACGUAAUUAUAGUCGCAAUACACGUUCUCUAGCACAGCUAAGCUUAUUUACGCUAAUUACUAACUAAGAUUGGUCAAUCCUAGCUCUAACAAUUUAAUGUUCAUUAAAUCAUUAGGUAAACAAGUUCAUACAGUUAAUGGUCACUAAGCUAUACAGAACAUGCAAUCAAACAAUUAGAGAAACAAACAAUAGCAUGCUAGGUAAUACAAAUCAAACACAAGCAAUUUUUACCAACUAAACUUAAUCCAUAAAAAUUGAGCUAUUCAUAAGUUGGAAGCUUCAUCUAGCUAAACAAGAGUAGCUAGAUUCAGCUGCUCAUCAUAGCAACUAACAAACCUACAUAAUUUGAAGUAAUAGAAAACAUGUUCUUAAUUAACUAAAAUAUAGACCUUUAUUCUUUUUGGUGUUGAAAACCUUCUUCCAAAACCUUUCUUUCGCUCCAAAUCGUUUCCUGGAACUCCUUCCUUUAGCCAAAAGGUUCUUCCUUUCGUAAUGAUCAGGAGUACUUAAAUAGACUCCAAAAUCCCGCACCACGUCGUGGCUAUCCAGGCCACGUCGUGGGCUUCAAGUUAUCCGUACCGGGCAAGGAAUCCUCCGAAUCACGAUCUUUAUCUUCUAGAAUCCUCAUGCCACGUCGUGGCCAACUUUUCCACGUCGUGGAUUUAGUAGCUUUCGUGGAUUUGCUCAUCUCUUGUCUUCCNCCAAGUCUCCCAUGUUCUACAUAUUGUCACUUUUGGUCCCUCUCUUCGAAAAUCCUUUUAAUUGACUGAAAAUAACAAUUUAAAGUCAUAAGUACCAUUAUUCUAAACAUAUUAUCAACUUAUUAAUAAAAAUGUACUUAAUUAUUGCCUAAAAUAGGUAUAAAUAUGGCAAUAUCAAAAUACCCCACACUUAGGCUUUGCUUGCCCUCAAGCAAAUUUAAACUUAACUCUUAAUUACUAACACCAUAUAGAACAAUCCGACUCUAGCUCAUCCAUUAUGUCAAGACCUCAACGCAUGCAUUUGUAUCUAAAAUUUUCCUAAAGUACCCCCCAUACUUUAAAUACUCACAAUCUUCAUAAACACUCGCCCACUUUUUCCGAACAAUGCUCAUUUUAUGCAACCCUCCGAAUCCAUCCGCAGAAAACCUCCUUAUCCUCAAGGUAUUUUUAGUUGAGCAACCUAAGCAUACAUAAUCUAGAAUUACAAUCUAUGAUACCACUAUGGAGCUCUUUUGGAAUUCUUCACUUCUUUGACAUUUGAUCUUUGAUUUCUUUGAAUUCACCACCUUUGUUGUUUGAUCUUUGGUAUCUUCAACUUUUUGCAUUUCUUGGAAUUUUGAUAUUUUGAUCUUCACUUUAUUUGCUCCAAAAUUCUUCAAACUUUUCUCGUAAUUCACUCUCUUUUUUUACAUGUACCUCACUUUUUCCACUCAAAACCUACAUGCUUAAGCAGAGGCGCUCAACCUCAACCUUUAUCGGUUAAUGAUAAUAAUUUUCCUCGAUAAAUUUCAAGUUUAGGCUGCUAAACAUAUUGCAUCCCUCAAACCAAGCGGGGUUAUGUUUUUGUUCCAUGAUUUCACUAAAAUAAGGGAGGCCACAAAUGCACUAUAACGUGUAUUGGCUCAACUAAACAUUUGAACUUUCAUCGGAUCAUCCCACAUAACACUAGCAAUUAUAAUUCAAAUUAUUAUUACUAGAUUCAAUUAUUAAAAAUUUCAAUUUUUACUAUCAAAUUCUAUGAUUAUCUAGCAAUUUACUUUUUCUACCCCUACCCCACACUUAUUUCAUACAAUGCCUUCAUUGUAUGCAUAAAAAUAAAUCAAAAUUAAAGAAAAUGGAGAAAAAGGAACAGACUCCUCUAGGAUAGUGGCGUGAGCAUCUCCAAAAGUGUGGAAAACGUGUGUCUUGAAUAUGGACUCCAAAAAUAGAAACUCGGUGUAGAACUGGGUGAAUAUGUUAAUAAACCACGAACAUGCCUCGAAACUUAAAUUCUUCAAAGUGGGUGCUAGUAAGUAGAAAUGUGGGAAAGGAUACACGUCGUGGCAGAAAGCACCACUUCGUGAUAUAAGAUGAAAACACGAACAACAGGCUGCUUUAUUCUUCAAGUUUCAUGAGCGCCACGACGUGGCGUAAGGAGCCCACGUCGUGGAAACUGGACAUCACACAAAAAUGCGUUAUUCCUUCAUGCAUCCUAGCAGCUUGACCAAUGGCUAAAUGGUUUAAGACGCUUCUAUGUAAAUAUACUUCCCAACUGUAACCUCUCUCCUACUAACGUACCCCACACUUAUCUUGAAUUGUGGGUUCCAACUCACGACUCUAAGCUUCCUUGACUUGACUAGACAAACACGACUCUAGAGUUAACCUUAUAUGCUCCUUAGAAUUCCAAUGCUAAUCUGAAAAAUGGAACAACCCAAAAGAAAUAAAAGAGUAACAUCAUAGUUCAAGAAAGUUUUACAUUACAAACCAAAUUCAAACAUAAAAAAACUACUUAAAACAAAAUAAAAUAAAAAGAAAAGAAAAGAAAAUCAAUCAUCAUCUCCUUGGUCCUGCGCUCCACUUGGUCCUGCCCUGUCAUUCUACGGACGCCAAAGCUCCUCCCAUGUUGGAAAAUAAGGAUACUGUGGUGGCAUAGAAGGUGGUCGGGUCACACCCAAAUGCGAAUAAAUACCCAUGAUAAAUGGCAUGCCCCCGGAGAUUAUCCAAAUAAGUUCCCACCCGACUCUGAAAAGGGUCGGUGGGCACUCCCUGUACAUACUGUGAAGUAGCACGCUCUCUAUCGACCUCUCCUCUAGCUCGCACAUUCCGACACCGCGGUCUGGCUGGUGGUUGAUGCCUUAGGUGCGCCUCCUCUUGCUCCUCAUCUAUCGGCGGUAUAACAAAACGACCCCCGACAUUCACCACUACCCGCAUAACUCCCAAGACUUGAAUGGUCAAAUCAGUGUCCAAGAAUCGAGUAAGAUUCCUCACAAAGUCAUGGGUCAAAAUAUGAUAUGACCUAGCAAGGCGAGUAACCAAAUCCCCCCCCCCAAUCUGACUCCCGGGCCUAGAAUUAGCCGCUUUCUUCCUCAUGAACCUCGCCAACAUAUACGGUAAAUCACAACAAACCCCCGGGGUAAUCAGAGUCCAUAGAUAAAACAAAUUAUGAAUGGGGACUUUAUCACCAUGAUGCUUGUGAUUUAUUGAAAAAGUGAUCAGGCGAUGUAAAAAUCGGAAAACAGGAUUUCGAAUUUGUGACUCACUCGAGUCACGAGUAUUAUACUCAUGGCUAGAAAUGCCCCGCCAGAACUAAACAUCCAUAAUACCGGGAUUAAAAUCCCCAACGCAUCCAAGUAAGAAUGGUAUGAAAAACGAAGAUUGAGUCUCCACUUCGGUAUAAAGCCCCAUACGCCAAGCAAAUUCCCAAAGACUACACUCUCUAUAAACACCACCCAAACGAAACACAAGUGCCCGGUUGUAAGUAAAAUCAAUGGUGCGUUCCUCGAAGCAUACGGUAGAGAAAAACUCCACCGAUAAUUCCCGAUAUACGGGCUCUCGAAUUGCAAACAAAUUCCUCCACCCGUGACAAUGAAAGAAAANAGAAAAUUGAUCCCCUUCGUAUGUUUUCGAUCAAUAGCGUUCCAACUCAGCAACCAUUCCCACACCACCGAGCCAUCCCCAAUCGAUAAUUGGGGCUAUCGCAAAUUCCCUAUUGUACAGCUAUCCCAACCGAUUCUCAUAAGUAGUCAACAAUGGUCGGGGAAUGUUUUGAGGACACUGAUAUAAGGGAUGUAUACUCGCCACAUCAAUCGGAUUUUCCUCCUGUGGAAUAGCUCUUCAUGGUCCCAUUUCUGCAUACAAAAUCAAACUAAAGCAGCAAACACCCAAAACAUUAAAACAAUUUAAACUGUCUGCCAGAAGUCACGACGUGGCCAGGCUCGCCACGUCGUGGACCGCAGUCGAACCCUGUGUGUGGAUCAGCCAGUUUGUAUGCGAUUUCCACCAAAAAUAAUGCUUGGGGUUUGUUCCUAUGGACAUUUAAGGGACAUGCAACCUAGAAUCAACAACUAGUUUCAACCAAUUUCGUGAAUCACAUAAACCCUAACCAUGAAAAUUUAAAAUUGUAAGAUAUAACUACAAUUAAUGGGUAGAACACAUACCAAGUAGAGUUAAUUGACAAGAACUUGCAAGGAAAUUGGAAGCAAAUUAAGAAAUUGGCUGUGGGGACCUUGUUCCCGUUCGUGCGACAGUAGCAAAUGAGGAAUGGGGAUUAUUGGUCAAAGGGUUUUAAGGAAAUGGUCCCCCCCGUGACUUUUUAAAGGCCACGUCGUGGCUGGCUGUGCCCACAUCGUGGACUUUGAAACUGUCAUUUGUUCCCGUGAUUUCAUUUUUACCACGACGUGGUUGUAUCAGCCCACAACGUGGCAAAUGCCUGAUUGCAAAAUUUUUUAAAAUCAUACAUUUUAACUAUCUACUUUGCAUCUCAUUUAUUAAUUAAAGUUCCCACAGCUAAUUCUUUACUAAGUAUCAGUUAUUGGAUGAUGAGUUGUUAUCUUUCCUAAUUAAAAACUCAAAAAUUAAAAGAACAGAAAAUGCAAACCAAACUCGGGUUGCCUUCCGAAAAGCGCUUCUUUUUCUUGGAGUCUUGAGCUGGACUCCGUGCCUUCUACGUUGAAUCUUCUGAAGAGUCCACCACUAAGAUCUUUUGUUCCUUGAAUCGCCUCUUGUAAGCUUGAACUCGCCUUUUAUAUUCCUUCUUUGAAUUCUCUUUUUUAGCUUUUCCCUCUUCUUCAAGCUUGCGUUUUGUGCCCUUAGUUUGUUCCUUACACUCCAUAGCAUCCUCCUCCUCUUUCACCACCGACUUUUUCACUCUUGAAGUGACCUCCUCUUCAUCACUUGUCAUCUCCUCAUUCUCUUUGCUCACCCAAGAAGGCGGACUCUUGUAAGCUAUGACUUCAAUCAAAUAUGGAACAAAUGCCCUCGGUUUUGCUCUUUUGACAUGAUGAACUGCCUUGAUCUCUUCUUCCAUAAGCUUUUCCAGUUCUUCUAGUUCAUUGUCUUUGUUAAUUGUGAACACCUCUUCUUGAACAUGAUCCUCUUGGAAGUCAUCUUGUAUUCUAAAAACUUCUUGUUCAUCUCCAACCCUCAAAGUGAGCUUAGACUCACGAAUAUCAACAAGAGCCCCAGCAGUGUUAAGCAAUGGACGACCAAGGAUUAUUGGAACAUCGGGAUCCUCUUUCAUAUCCAAAACUACAAAGUCUAUUGGAAAAAUAAAAUUUCCAAUUUUCACCAAAAUAUCCUCCACGAUGCCCCGGGGUUGUGUCACUGAACGAUUCGCCAUGUGAAUCUUCAUUUUUGUAGCCUUCAUCUUUUGAAUUUCUAAUUUUUGAUAAAAUGAAAAAGGCAUCAAAUUAAUGAUAGCCCCAGAAUCGGCUAAAGCAUUAACCUUCAUUUUAUUACCAAAAUCACAUGGAAGAGUGAGGCGUCCAGGACCCCCCAUCUUUUCUGGUGUCUCUCCCAACACGGCUUUUGAGGUUUGUUCACUUAGAACCACCUUAGACUGCUUCUUUAAAUGUCUGCGAGUGUCUAUCAAAUUUUUGUAGUAACUUCUGAUUCUCAGGAGUUUUGGAUAAGGACUCGACAAAGGGAGUAUUAAUCGGGAUCCCCUUCACAUGCUUUACAAACUCUAUAUGCUCCUUCUCCAGUACACUAAGUGUAGCUCGGGGUGGAAAUGACAAUGGUGGCUGAUAAACUGGAACGGGUUCAAAGACUUUUUGAUCAUACAUGCGCCAUGUCGUGGCCAGAGGAGUGCCACAUCGUGACGAAGCUGUUUCAACAAACUUUUCACUUUCGAACUUUGGCUUCUUUGGUUCUGGAUCGGGCUGCUGUGGUUCUUCUCCCAAUGCCUCCAGGAACUCAGAGAUUGCUUCUUCUUCAGUAUCGAUGGCCAUUACGUGAGAUUGGGUCUUUACUUCGGGAUUCUUUGGGAUAAUUUUUCGUGAACCAGAGUGGCUAAUUGACCAAAUUGUACUUCAAGGUUAUGGAUGGAGGCUUGCUGAUUCUUUAUUAAAGUUUGUUGUUCCAUAAUAGCAGAAUCAGUGGCAUCGUGUCUCUUUUCCGAAGCUUCCAUAAACUUCAUCAAAAUGGUCUCUAUGUCGGGUUUCUUCUCGGCUGGUGGCUGCUCCUUUUGAUAAAGGCCUCGACCUGUCUGCCUAUACUUCUCUUCUUUUUGCUUCUUAUACUCUUCAUAUGGCAUCCACUCCUUCUUCGGUUUCCUCCAGUCCUCAUCAAACUUAUCCCCACUAGAGUAGCACACUUGAGCUUUCCUGUUCCCAAACUCAUCUACAUUGUAGUCCUUGGUCAAGUGUGGACCACUACAUCUCUCGCAACCCACUCUUAUGGCAUGUUUUUACUGGUCCAUUUGUGUUAUCCUUCGAUCCAUCUUAUUCAGCAUGGCCAUUACAGCUGCUAUUUCUUCAGUUUGGGCCCCUCCACUGCCUUUGAUUCCAUCUUGCCUAGGGUUGUGGUAUUCGCGAGAGUGCUUCGCGAAUUCUUCAAUUAGCUCCUUGACCUCCCUUGGAUUUUUCUUUGUCAAAGGUCCUUGAGAAUCAAGGAGUUGUCUUGUCAUAACGUUGACCCCAUCAUAAAAGAUUGACAUCUCUUGNNNNNNNNNNNNNNNNNNNNNNNNNNNNNNNNNNNNNNNNNNNNNNNNNNNNNNNNNNNNNNNNNNNNNNNNNNNNNNNNNNNNNNNNNNNNNNNNNNNNNNNNNNNNNNNNNNNNNNNNNNNNNNNNNNNNNNNNNNNNNNNNNNNNNNNNNNNNNNNNNNNNNNNNNNNNNNNNNNNNNNNNNNNNNNNNNNNNNNNNNNNNNNNNNNNNNNNNNNNNNNNNNNNNNNNNNNNNNNNNNNNNNNNNNNNNNNNNNNNNNNNNNNNNNNNNNNNNNNNNNNNNNNNNNNNNNNNNNNNNNNNNNNNNNNNNNNNNNNNNNNNNNNNNAGUGACUUUAACCACUCCUUAGCAGCUCCUUUGAAAGUGAUGGGAAGCAUCCUAAGCAAGACUGUGUUUCUGUUGACAUUUGGGACAUUGAAGUAAUCCGCAAUGUCGUUGACUUCAUCUAGAUGCUUAAAAGCAUCCUCAUGAUCUUUCCCAAAAAAUGGGAUAUCCUUCAGUGCAGUCAAUAUGUGCCCCUCCAACUCGAAUGUGGCAGUGGCAGGUAUUGCGGGUUGGACUAAAUCGGGACCCACAUCUUCUCGGAUCCGCUUCUUGUAAGAUCCCAUGGACAUCUCUUCAAUUGCUUCCAUCUCGUUCCAUGGCUCGUUCUCGGGUUCGCUCACGUGUUCUUCAAAUUUCGGCUCGGUAUCGCUUUCGUACUCGGUUUGGACGGGCGUAUGAUCCAAAUGCUCAAGAUUGCUCUUGUGCCUCGCGGAUGAACUUGACUAUCCUGUCUUCUUUCCCGACUUCCUUGAAAAAGCUGACUUCAAUUCUUGUAAGGGCGUCUUUUUCUUGUGAAUUGCAGACUCGGGAUCUUCAAGUGGUGGCACCAAGGGUGUGUUUAAGCUUCUGGUCAUGAACUCCUGCAACUUGCUAAACUAAAAACGUAAAACUGAACUAAAAUAAGAAAAACUAACUAACAACUAAAAAUCUAGUUUUUUUAAAUGUCCACGUCGUGGCAGGUAGCUGGCCACGUCGUGGGCUCUAUGACUGACAGAAAAAAAAAAUUAUAUUUUGCUGAAAAAUUAACUUUUUGUGGUUUUUACUCCACAAGAAGGAUCGAUUAAUUUAAUGCAAAUAAAUAAACUAAAAACUAAGCCGUUCCCCGGCAACGGCGCCAAAAACUUGAUGUGCACAAAAGUACCCACUAAUUUUAAUAUUUAUAACCCUACAAACUUAACUAAGUAUGCACUUAUAGGCAGUGUACCUAGUCAGAUUAUAGUAUGGUUGGGGUAAGUCGGGUGUCGAUCACAGGGAACGGUGUUACUAAUUAAUUUACUUACUAUUAAAGUAACCUAAUUAUUAACAAGUUUAAAAUGGGUUUUAUCUGAUUUUACAAGAUCAUAUGAACUUAAAUCAAAUUCAAUAAAUAAAAACACACUCUUGUUUAGUUUAAAUCCACUUCUUCCUUAUGGCUAGCUAAUGAUUACGAACUAUUAAAUUGGUUUUUAGUUGUAUUAGUAAUUUAGUUCUAACUUUACCAAUAAUUAACUAAUUCAUGUCAAACCAUGUAUGUUCACACAUAAUUAAACACAGAACUAAUUAUGAAUAUAAAUAUGCUAUGUAAGAUUUGUAAUAUAAACACAAUUAUAGUCACAAUACGCGUUCUCUAGCACAGCUAAGCUUAUUUACUCUAAUUACUAACUAAGAUUGGUCAAUCCUAGAUCUAACAAUUCAAUGUUUAUUAAAUCAUUAGGUAAACAAGUUCAUGCAGUUAAUGGUCACUAAGCUAUACAGAACAUGCAAUCAAACAAUUAGAGAAACAAACAAUAGCAUGCUAGGUGAUACAAAUCAAACACAAGCAAUUUUUACCAACUAAACUUAAUCCAUAAACAUUAUAAUAUUCAUGAGUUGGAAGCUUCAUCUAGCUAAACAAGAGUAGCUAGAUUCAGCUGCUCAUCAUAGCAACUAAUAAACCAACACAAAUUGAAUUAAUAGAAAACAUGUUCUUAAUUAACUAAAAUAUAGACCUUUAUUCUUUUUGGUGUUUAAAACCUUCUUCCAGAACCUUUCUUUCGCUCCAAAUCGUCUCCUGGAACUCCUUCCUUCAGCCAAAAGGUUCUUCCUUCCAUAAUGAUCAGGAGUACUUAAAUAGACUCCAAAAUCCCGCGCCACGUCGUGGCUAUCCAUGCCACGUCAUAGGCUUCAAGUUAUCCGUACCGGGCAAGGAAUCCUCCGAAUCGCGAUCUUUAUCUUCUAGAAUCCUCAUGCCACGUCGUGGAUUUAGUAGCUUUCGUGGAUUUGCUCAUCUCUUGUCUUCCAAGUCUCCCAUGUUCUACAUAUUGUCACUUUUGGUCCCUCUCUUCGAAAAUCCUUUUAAUUGACUGAAAAUAACAAUUUAAAGUCAUAAGUACCAUUAUUCUAAACAUAUUAUCAACUUAUUAAUAAAAAUGUACUUAAAUAAUGCCUAAAAAUAGGUAUAAAUAUGACAAUAUCAUCCUUCAUGAAUGAUCUAUUCCAUUCCUUUCUCAGAUGAUCCGUUCCUUUAUCAGAUGCUUCAUUGAAGUCAAAGUGCCCCCAUUGAGUUCCAAGUGUUCCAUUGAACCCAAAUGCUCCAUACGAAUCUCCAAAUGCUCAAGUCACAUUUAACAGAAUAUAAAAUAAUACUAGAAUUUUUUUUCUAUACUCGAAAGCAGAUUUAUAAUAUUUGUAGAAUUCCCAAACCCUUCAUCGAUUUUUUUGUCUCGCAUUUACAAGACUGAUUAUGAUUUUUAAGUUCAUAUAAAAUAAUAUAUAAGGGUAUAUUUGGAAAUCACAUGAAAAAAGCUACAUGAGCUUAUCAAUAAACAAUCUUAAAUAGUAUUUUUAAAAUCCAAUUUACAAGCUAUUUUAUUAGUCUCACCAAAUGCUACAUAGUUUCAUUCAAGAAAACCUCCAAAAUCUUUAAGCAUACCCAUUAUUUCUCGAUCGAAUUCCCCUCUCCAGCUAUCAAUGGCCAUAGCCGGUUCUACCCCCGAUUAGUCAUAACAAAAUCAAAGGUGCUUAACACCACCAAAGAAACCCUUGGUGACUGGAACCUCGUCGGAAAGCAAGAACACUAAUCGACUUUAGGUAUCGACAAUUGUAUUAUAUUAUUGUAUAUUUGUGAAUAGUAAAUACAAGGGAUAUUUAUAGGAUACAAUAUUACACAAUAAUCCCUCUAAAUAUAAGAUAGAUAAUAAUAGUCUAAUAGUCCCCCACAAGAUAAGGCUGAUUUCCGACUCUUAGCUUAGACUUCAAUAAAAGGAGUCUCUCAGCAGGUAAAGGCUUUGUAAACACAUCGGAUAUCUGAAUGAAAGUCAACUUCCACAUUCUUUGUUCGGGCAUGGAAAACAGAAUUUGCAGACAAGUAUGUGGCACCCAGAUUAUCAAACUAUAAGUUAGGUAUAGUAGGCAUGAGAAUACGAAUUUCAUGUAGUAAGGUCUCUAACCAUGUUAUUUUAGCCACUGUAUCAACUAAAGCCUUGUACUCAGACUCGGUGGAGGACCUCGAGACAGUCUUUUGUUUUCUUGCAUUCCAGGAAACUAAAUUGGAUCCGAGAUAGAUAGCAACCCCCCNNNNNNNNNNNCCCCCCCGGUGGAUUGAUGGUUAUCCGGGAAGCCUGCCCAAUCAGCAUCUGAAAAGGUGCUCUAGGAAUUAAACGUGACAUUAGUAUAGGCAUAUAAAAUAUUGGGCGAUUGAUGAGUAAUUCGCAAUCCAUGAUCGCAAGUGCCCUACAAAUAUCAUAAGAUGCGUUUCACUUCUGACCAGUGGUUUUCGGUGGGGGAGUGCAUAAAUUGGCAGACUUUGUUAAUUGCAUAGGUAAUGUCGGGCCUCGAGAGGGUUACAUAUUGCAAAGCACCUACUAGUUGACGAUAUUUCACCGGAUCAUCGAAAGGAGGGUUAUCGCCAAGAGUAAGAUUGGCUGUUGUUGUAAUAGGAGAUGGAACGAGUUUGGAUUUUGAUAACCGAGCAUGCUCCAAGAGAUCCAAAAUGUACUUGCAUUGUGACAAUAAUAUAUCCUGACCAUGCCGUUGAACCUCUAUACCCUAGAAAUAUGUUAACGGACCCAUAUCUUGGAUUGUGAAAGACUUGCUUAAACUGUGAACAACACGAUCAAUUUCGCGGGGAUUGUUUCCUGUUAAAAUAAUAUCAUCAACAUAAACCAACAUAUAUAGAAGUGUGCCUUUAGUCGAAUAGAUAAACAAGGAUGGAUCUGUUUUGGAUCCUCGAAAACCCAAGGCCAUCAAUGUUGUAGAAAGGCGUUGAAACCAUGCCCUCGGUGCCUGUUUGAGUCUAUAUAAGGACUUAUGAAGGAGGCAAACAUGAUCAGGUUUUUGUGGGCCAACAAAACCAGGUGGAUGUCGUAAGUAAACAAUCUCUUUCAAGUUACCAUGUAAAAAGGCAUUUUGGAUAUCUAGUUAGCGAAGAGACCAUUGUUUGGUGAUGGCAAGAGAAAAAAACGAUUCUAAUUGUAUUAGAUUUAACUACCAGGCUGAAUGUCUCAGUAUAAUCAAUGACAGGUUGUUGGUUGAAACCUUCUGCUAUGAGACAAUAUUUGUACCUUGUAAUGGUACCUGUUUGAUCACUUUUUACUUUAUAAACCCAUUUACAAUCGACCACAUUAGAUCGAGAAACAGAAGGAACCAAAGUCCAUGUACCAUUCCUCAAAAGGGUCGAAUACUCCUUAGCCAUGGCCUGAUGCCAUUUGGGAUCUUUGUUGGCAACAGAAAAGAAUGUGGGUUCAGAAGUAGGAGAGUUUUUGUGUAACGCCGUGAUUUCCAAAAACAAAAUUUUCAUUUAAAUACUCAAUUUAAAAUUAAAAACACUUGUUUAAAAUCUUAUUCACAUUCGAAUUACAAAACAUAGUUUCAUUUUCAUUAUAAUAGAAGCCAGGAUCCUCCAAAAUACAACUCUUUCUUCGGUGUGUACAAUCGAACCGUUGCCAUCCCGCGUUACUGAUAGAACCUGAAACAACAUAACAUAAACAACGUAAGCACGAAGCUUAGUGAGUUCCCCAAUAUACCUUACGCACAUACGCCUUCCGGCCCGGAUCUUUCGAUCCACAUAACAUUGCCUUCCGGCCCGGACCUUUCGGUCCACAAGAUAAUUGCCUUCCGGCCCAUACACAUAUAUAACACAUAAUACAAAUACUCUAACACAUAAAGCACAUAUAUCAUAUAUCAUACCUGACCUUUCUGUCACAUAAUACCUUGCCUUCCGGCCCAUAUAUAAGCAUGUAUAUCACGCGUAGCAGCUAACUUUCCAUUUAUAGCAUAUAAACAUAACACAUAACAUACUUGACCUUCCGGUCACACAAUCAAACCCUUCCGGGUGAGGUAUAGUGAGAAGACUCACCUCGCGGACACUAGAAGAUAGCAACUCCUAAAAUCCCUUGCACUUGAUCCUCCGAGCUACAAGCUCCCUGUAACAUCAUAUAUCCCUUAUUUAAUACUUCUAUCUUCCACGUUAACUGACCCUAAGAAAUCACACCAGUCAACUCUGGUCAACAGUCCAAUGUCAGCUCGACUGGACUCGGCGAGUUCCCUGGCGACUCGGCGAGUCUGGUCGUCCUUCAAUCCUCUAAGAUUCCCCUUCUACUCGUCGAGUAUCCUCUUUGACUCGACGAGUCACUCCUGGAAGAAUCGCGGGGCCACCCCGACUCCACUCGCCGAGUCUGAAGAACAACUCGGCGAGUCCCAGUGAAUCUUCAAGCUACUCGCCGAGUCUGAUCAUCCGACUCGGCGAGUCCACGCCAUGCAGUCGAUCCAACUGCUUCCUGAGAUACGUUUUUCCCGAGAUACACACUCAUGGGACUUCUGGACCUCUAAUCAUCCUAUUACUAGGGUAGAAACCUUUGUAUAACAACAUAAUAAUCCAUCAAAUCUCCAAAUGGGUUUCAUAAACCCUAAAUUCGUGUACACAUCAAAAUAACAGGAAUGAUCCGAAACCUUACCUGAAAACAUACUCUCUGUGUCCCCAAACCUCAGAACUCGACCCCCUUGCUCUUCCUUUGGCCAAAAUCCUUCCUCUUCUUGCACCACAAUUCCUUCAAAGUCAAUAAUGGCCUUCAAGUUUUGCUCCAAAUGCCACAGUCGUCUAGGGUUCUCCACAAUCGGCCAAAAGACGUGAAAUGACGACAUAACAACCCUUAAAUACGACCCAAUACGAAACGGCUAGGGUUUCUGCUGAACAGCGUCGACUCGCCGAGUCCAUACCUGGACUCGUCGAGUCCAGUCGCGAACCCGCGACCAAAUCUGCGACCCUACUCGGCGAGUCUGGCUCCAACUCGCCGAGUCCCCCCUUUAAAACACCCUAAAAUGCAAUUUAACAAUACUUGAGAUUUUGGGCUGUUACAAUUCUCCCCCACUAGAAUUAGACUUCGCCCUCGAAGUCUCACUCUGAAAAUAGUUCUGGAUGCUGCUCCCGCAUCACACGUUUCGGCUUCCCUAAACACUUCCGAUAUCUUCCGAGGUCGCUACUGAACCAAUACCAGAGGUACCUCCUUGUUCCUCAGAACCUUGAUCUUCCAAUCUCCGACGGCCACUGGCCUCUCGACGUAACACAGGCUCGCAUCCACCUAAUUGUUCUCUAGUAGGACCACUGCUGACUCAUCCGCUAUACACCUCUUCAGUUGCGACACAUACAAGUGUCAUGGAUCCGUCCCAAUUCCGUUGACAGCUCCAACGAUAGGUCACCCUUCCUAUCUUCGUACCUUCACGAAAAGACCCAACAUACCGGGGCCCCCAUUUACUCCUCCUCCUAAAUCGAAACACCCCGCCAGAAAUACGAAGUCGCCGACCGGAAUCACAUGCUCGUAACGACGUCUGCCUGCAUAACUUUCCUGUUAACUCUAGACGAUCACUAACUCUCUUUAACCUGCUGAUUCUGCCCUGCCAACUAAAGUACGAACUCUGAACUGCUCAUCACUCCCUGCAAUCGGAAAUUACCCAAGAUGCACUCUGCUCCAAAUCUCAACGAUCACUCAACCCAUAAGGGUUAGGAUACCCUGAACCACCGGAUUCCCGACCCAAAGCCCACUUUGUCCAUUCCGGACCGAAUGAGAGAUCCAUUCUCACACUCAGAUCAACUCUCACAAGUUCCCUCUUGCCAUCACAUACACAUACUGAACUAGUCCCAACGCCCGCAGGUGAAAAGACCCGACACCCUGAUGAUAUUCUCGAACAUCACCCAAGAUGAACCACUACAUCCACCCUACGCUCCGGUCAGAUUCACACUGAGAAUUUAAAAUUCUCUCUCUCCAUGCAUCCCUUCUAAGCCUCAACAGACAUCCCAACCGGAUGGGUUUCUACUCCACUGCCGCGAACACGAUGCUCAAAACCAUCCUCGAAAUACUCUAACUAUAACUCUGCUCUGCAGCUUUCACUUUCGUGAACUUGCACCCCUUCGGAGUUACACACCUUCCUCUUUUCCUUUUUCCCAAGAAACCCUCUUGGCCAUGAUGCCACUCCAACCGGUGCCACGGUGCUCGCCCCAAGCGACACCACCCUUUUUGCGUAACCGCUAUCCACAUACUCUGGUUCUCAUUGCAGGGGCUCUCAAUCUCAUGCACUCUCUCCACUCAUCAAGAUCACUGCCUCAGCUAAACAAGAUCACUAACCCGGGGCCAGACCUUCCAAUGCAAUCACACUGCAACAUACCCAAUCCGCAAUCUCAAACUGAUCCAGCAAUACCAACAGAGUCUCCAGCAUGACUGGACCGACUCUCAUAACACAUACUAGCCACUCGAGGCUAUGUCCCUGUGGGUCCGUACACCCAACUCUGCGAACCCUCAGGUUCUAACUCCGGAACCUUCCGGUUCCAGCUCUAGAAACAUGCACAACAUAAUCCCGUGGGAUUAAUGCAGUACAACCAUCACGUACCCCAAACGUACCAAUACUCUGAUCGCAAAAUUCCGAUUACUUACUCAAGCUUGAUCCCGACCUCCUCUCAGGCCUCCACAAUCAAAUGCCCUAGGUCUGUAUCUCGCCCCGCAUACUCAACACUCGCUCUCGUCGGCCUAUACUUUGCGCUGACAAACACUGCUGAAUCCCAACAGCUAAGCACCCUUACAUACUCAUCGAUCUCCCGGAGAAUUUUACAAUUCUCCCCCACUAAAGCACUGACUAACUGCCACCGAUCGUCAUUAACGACCUUUCAGAACCAUCCUGCACAAAGAGAACAUUUACCCACUGACUGCUUCCCACAAGCGUAAGCAACCCUCAGCAAAACACAUCUCCUCCCUGAUCAAUCCGCUCAAAAGAAUCCGAUCUUUCAAUUAUCCACUCCACAACUGCAGAUGCUACCCGUCAUUCAACCCAGUGCCGCAUCUCCACUAUCAACCCUCACGAACGAUGACCAACGGAAUUCCCAAGCAAUAACCCAUAACCAAACCCACAACCUGCCAAAGGUUGAAUAUCGCAUCGAAAACCGCACAAGGCUACCGGUACCAAAACACCAAACUAUAAUCAUACUAAACCAUCAGGGAACAACGAAUGCCAAGCGAAAACCUGAAGCACCAAUCCAUAACCAUGCCAAACCCGCGAAACAACGAAUACCGCAUCGAAAUCCACACCAGACACCAGCACAAACAAUACGCCACAAUCAACGCAAGCUACUCAAGACAUCAAGAGAGCAUCAUACCCGCAGCUGCCUCCGGCACUGCUCCGUCUCCCUCUGUCGCACGCAGAUAAACACGACCCUGAGCCCUCUGGGGCUCCGCUUCAUCCUGUCCUCCUCAAAUCCCGAAUUGGCACUGACUGCCAACAAUCCCGUGCACAGUGCCCCUCCUUUCCGCACUUGCGGCAUGCACCACUGGACCAACAAGCUCCGGUGCCAUCUCUCUCACACUUCCCACAAGUGUGACCGCUCCGAUCCCCCAUUCUAACGUCUACGGUCAUGGACCGUUUCGGCGCCGACUGCGACUGCAUCGGGGCCUGCCUCAUCUCACGCAACUGCAACUCAACCUCUAACUCACGCCACAUGGCGGCCUCCUGCGAUACCAACACGGUCUCGCGCCUCUGCGCAGACACGAACUGUCUGAUACCCCCCCUUGAGCAUACUCGGAUAUCGGGACAUCUGAGCCUGCUCCGAAGCGAACUCAGGGCAAAACAUCGCCCUCUCAAUAAACAUCCCGGUGCUCUCAGUCACCGACUCCAAAUCCUGCUUCAGCUUAAGGAACUUCCGAGCCAAUUUCUCCUUUUCAUCCCGCGGAACAUAGCGAGUACUGAACAUCCCUCUGAAUUGAUCCCAUGAAACCGCAGCCCUCUGCGCAUCGGAAAAUGACCUCGUGGUCAAUCUCCACCAAUCCUUCGCCCCGAGCCUCAACAGGUUCAGAGCACACCCCACCCUCUGAUCAGCAGGGCAUAAACUCGUGGAGAAACACCCCUCCAUGUCUGAUAACCAUCUCAUAGCAACAAUCGAGUCCUGAACUCCAUCGAAUGUGGGAGGCUUCGCAUAAUAGAAGUCCCGAUACUGAAAACCCCGACUAGCCCCUUUCUUUGCCGUUGCUACAGCCGCUGUAACCGCCGCGGCAGCCGUCUCUGCGAAAGCCGCAUAUCGCUCAUCAAACUACUUCAAUCAUAGUGGUCCUGAUCGACCCAAACAAUUCUGGCGACUCAGCCCGCAACAAUGCAGCGACCUCAUCACGCAGGAUCUCGCGAACCCUCGCAUCUCGCUCGCUCGUGCUCGUCCGAUCGAUACCCGGAUAACAAGAUAGCCACAAGCAUCAUCCACUACGAACCAUGGUACUCAUCCCAUGACAUCCCUCCUCAACAUGCUUCGGUGUAUGGUACCUGAACCAUAGCACCACUCCUCAAUCUGCUCCAAUGUAUAGCACUCGAACCACAACAUCUAUCUCAAUCUGUUCCGAUGUAUGGUGCCCUGACCAUAACAUCACUCUGUAUCCGCUCCGAUGUAUGGUAUUCGAACCAUAACAUCACUCCUCAAUCUGUUCCUUAGGACCUUCAGAAUGCCCCCUGUAUCAAGUAUGGGUCCUCUGCUUUCAGUAGUACGGGCCCAUACUACCUGCCACAUCUACCCAUACUUUCCACACGGACCAUCCCAGAGUUCCUAAGUAGCUGAUAAACCUGCUCUUUCACCCAUCUCAUCGCGCGUGCUCGCUUUCCAGCGAAAUCCUCUACUCUACCAGCGCACUCAUCUGGCUAGGUUUACUCCCUAGUCCCUUCCGCUGUCCUCCCACUUCUUUGCUAUCAGCUGCUGAAGAGUUCCUAAUGAUGCCAGCCCUCUACCUCCUGAGUAUCGUCAUACUCACUUAGUAGCUGACUCCCAUCAUCGAUAACUCCACAAAGCACAAAGCAAGCAGCAUUCGAGCAUUGAAGCAUACAUAGGACUCCCCAUCUGUGGUAGCUCCACCUUCUCGGCUCAUCCUCGGAAGUACCUCUGUACCCCGUAGCUUUACCCCUUGUGCGUUCUAACUAGAUACUCUCACUCAUCACAUACACACAAAAGCAUAACGCACAUAUAACAGCAAACCCUAGACUAAGGCAUCACAAAUCAGGCCACUCUAGUCCUAAGAUGUGAAAUACCUAGCCUGUCUCUAGCAUGCAAUAAUGUCUCAUAAAGUGCAUAAUAGAUAUUUCAUAAUACAAAAGUAAGGGUAUUUUGGGAAAUCACCGUUUGGCUCUGGCUGAUUGUACACACUGCUCUUUCUUGCUUUCUCUUUGAACUCUUAUUCACUUUUAGAAAACCAUUUAUUUGGAAAACUUUUUCUUACUUCCUCAGUUUGAGUCCAGAUUUACCCGUAGGCGCGUCCGAAUCCCUCAAACCAAGGCUCUGAUACCAAUUUGUAACACCGUGAUUUCCAAAAACAAAAUUUUCAUUUAAAUAAUCAAUUUAAUAUUAAAAACACUUGUUUAAAAUCUUAUUCACAUUCGAAUUACAAAACAUAGUUUCAUUUUCAUUAUAAUAGAAGACCAGGAUCCUCCAAAACACAACUCUUUCUUCGGUGUGUACAAUCGAACCGUUGCCAUCCCGCGUUACUGUAAGAACCUGAAACAACAUAACAUAAACAACGUAAGCACGAAGCUUAGUGAGUUCCCCAAUAUACCUUACGCACAUACGCCUUCCGGCCCGGACCUUUCGGUCCACAUAACAUUGCCUUCCGGCCCGGACCUUUCGGUCCACAUAACAUUGCCUUCCGGCCCGGAUCUUUCGAUCCACAUAACAUUGCCUUCCGGCCCGGACCUUUCGGUCCACAAUAUAUAUCGCCUUCCGGCCCAUAAGAUAAUUGCCUUCCGGCCCAUACACAUAUAUAACACAUAAUACAAAUACUCUAACACAUAAAGCACAUAUAUCAUAUAUCAUACCUGACCUUUCUGUCACAUAAUACCUUGCCUUCCGGCCCAUAUAUAAGCAUGUAUAUCACGCGUAGCAGCUAACUUUCCAUUUAUAGCAUAUAAACAUAACACAUAACAUACUUGACCUUCCGGUCACACAAUCAAACCCUUCCGGGUGAGGUAUAGUGAGAAGACUCACCUCGCGGACACUGGAAGAUAGCAACUCCUAAAAUCCCUUGCACUUGAUCCUCCGAGCUACAAGCUCCCUGUAACAUCAUAUAUCCCUUUUUAAUACUUCUAUCUUCCACGUUAACUGACCCUAAGAAAUCACACCAGUCAACUCUGGUCAACAGUCCAUUGUCAGCUCGACUGGACUCGGCGAGUUCCCUGGCGACUCGGCGAGUCUGGUCGUCCUUCAAUCCUCUGAGAUUCCCCUUCUACUCGUCGAGUAUCCUCUUUGACUCGACGAGUCACUCCUGGAAGAAUCGCGGGGCCACCCCGACUCCACUCGCCGAGUCUGAAGAACAACUCGGCGAGUCCCAGUGAAUCUUCAAGCUACUCGCCGAGUCUGAUCAUCCGACUCGGCGAGUCCACGCCAUGCAGUCGAUCCAACUGCUUCCUGAGAUACGUUUUUCCCGAGAUACACACUCAUGGGACUUCUGGACCUCUAAUCAUCCUAUUACUAGGGUAGAAACCUUUGUAUAACAACAUAAUAAUCCAUCAAAUCUCCAAAUGGGUUUCAUAAACCCUAAAUUCGUGUACACAUCAAAAUAACAGGAAUGAUCCGAAACCUUACCUGAAAACAUACUCUCUGUGUCCCCAAACCUCAGAACUCGACCCCCUUGCUCUUCCUUUGGCCAAAAUCCUUCCUCUUCUUGCACCACAAUUCCUUCAAAGUCAAUAAUGGCCUUCAAGUUUUGCUCCAAAUGCCACAGUCGUCUAGGGUUCUCCACAAUCGGCCAAAAGACGUGAAAUGACGACAUACAACCCUUAAAUACGACCCAAUACGAAACGGCUAGGGUUUCUGCUGAACAGCGUCGACUCGCCGAGUCCAUACCUGGACUCGUCGAGUCCAGUCGCGAACCCACGAUCAAAUCUGCGACCCUACUCGGCGAGUCUGGCUCCAACUCGCCGAGUCCCUCCUUUAAAACACCCUAAAAUACAAUUUAACAAUACUUGAGAUUUUGGGCUGUUACAUUUUGGUUAUGGAAAACGAUUCAAAGAAGAAAUGUGUGGUUUUCUUUGGGUGUUGUCGUAAGUGUGCAGGACGGGGACGAUUGGUGAUGGUUGAUGUUUGUUGUGAUGGGGCAGUAUCGGAGGAGGCUAUGUGAGCUGAAGUUGACUAUUGGAAAUUUUCAUAGGCUGAUGUAUGAGGAGUUUGAUGGGAGUCAACAGUGGGUUGGCAUUUACGUUGGUAUGUUUGGAGAGGAGGAUCGGUAGGUCAUUGAUCGAAAGGUUGUGGAGUAGGUUGUUGAUUAGAUGUAAGAGGUUUUUGUGUUUGGUUAGGGUUGUCGGUCAUGGUUUGUAGAGGUGGUAUGUAGUGGGGAUCGGGAUAUGAGGAUACAUAUGGCUCAUUUGGAAUGGAUGGGGAAGUUGGAUGAGAAUUGAAAGGAAAGAUUUGUUCAUUGAAGCGUACAUGACGAGCUAUGUAAAUAUGAUCGGAAGAAGGAUCAAGGCAACGAUAUCCAUGGUGGGAAGGGUUGUAGCCAAGAAAAACAAAAGAAGUGGACCAAAAAUCCAUUUUGUAGGCAUUGUAAGGACGCAAAUGAGGGUAGCAUUGACAACCAAACACACACAGAAAGGAUAAGUCAGGUUUUCGUUUGAAAAGGAGCUCAAACGGGGAGGUACUCGUUGUUCUGGAGGGCAUUCGGUUUAUGAGGUAGACUGCGGUUUCAAAGGCAAAGUCCCAAAAGCGUUUGGGAACAUUGGAUUGGGCUAAUAGAGUAAGACCGGUUUCAACGACAUAACGGCGGCGUCUUUCAACUAUGCCAUUUUUUUCACUUGUGUGAGGACAAGAUAAGCAGUGCACAAUAUCAAGGGAGGUGAAGAAGGUUGAUAGGUUUCGAAACUCACCACCCCAGUCAAUUUGUACGACUUUUAAUUUUUUAUUAAAUUGGCGUUCAACAGUAGUUAAGAAACGUUUAAAUAUGUCAUAAACAUCAGAUUUAUGUUUCAAAGAGAAUAACCACAUAAAGUGUGUAAAGUGGUCAACACAUAGUAAGAAAUAAUUGUGACCAUCAAAAGAAGUGGUUGGAGCGCGACCCCAUACAUCGAAAAAAAAGUAAAUCCAAAAUACUAGAACUUUUAUUAUGUGAAAAAGGUAAACGAAGUUUCGAAGAUUUCCUAAUGGAACAUAAAUUACAAUGAGAAUCUGUACUAUUACUUGAAACUGGUAAAUGAAAUUUGGAUAACAUAAACUUGAAAAGUUGAGGAUGUGGAUGUCCUAGUCUUUGUUGCCAAAUGGUUGAGGAAGCACGAGUAGAUGAGAAAGCAACUUUAGAUAUAGGCUGAAAAGCUGGAAGGCGAAAAGUGGAAAGACCACCAUCACUUGGACCUGUAAGGAGGAUAACGCGUGUUGUAUUGUCCUUCACAUCAAAAAAAGUGGAAUGAAAUUCAAAGAAGACAUAAUUAUCAUGACAAAAUUGUUGAAUAGAGAGCAAAUGUUUUUUGAUACUAGGAACAUGAAGAAUAUUGUUAAGGGAAAAGGUUUUGAAUUGAGAGUAGGUGCGUUUUGAGCCAAUGUGGAGAAUGGGUAAACCCUUACCGUUGCCAACAUGUAGGUUGUCCUCACCGUAGUAUGGCUCAGAAGUAUCGAAUCCAUUGAGAUCAGGUGCAACAUGACUGUUAGAUCCCGUAUCAGGGAACCACGAGGUGGUAGAUGAUGUCUGGGAGCGAUGGUCAGCGUAAUUGGCGAAUGGUUGUUUCAUCCGAAGGGUUGAGGGGUCACGGUUUUAGCAUUGAGAAGGAAUGUGCCCAAUACCGCAUCUAUUGCACGUGCCGUAAAUAAUGUUCUAAUUAGAGGCCCAACUGAACUGACCCCGGUUUCCACCUCCUUGAGGAGGAUCACUUUGAGAGUGGUUGUUGUUGUAUCCACCACAUCCUCCUCGGCCCCUGUUAUUAUUGUUAUAGCCACAACGAUUUUUGUUAGAGUUAUUGUUACCUGAUCGAUUUAAGUAGAAAGCUUGUGGUGAGCUUGGUUGUGGUUGAAAGCCUAGUUGGGCCACUAAUUGUUGUAGGGCCUGAAGUGUCUUUGGUUGUAUAGAAGAUAAGGCGGUUGAGUUGCGGUUUGUGAUGGUAGCCAUAAAAGCCUGGGCCGGUGCUGCUGGUGGGGAAUGUUUCUUGAUCAUUUAGUCAUUGAUCAUUGAGCAAACCAUAGAGAUCGGUGAAGGUAAUGGGAGAUCGCCUCCCAAGUAAGGUAGACUUGAAUCCAUUGUACUCUUCCCGCAGCUCUACAAUCAUAAGCAUAACGAGAUCUGUUUCAUCCAUUGGUUUCCCAAUGUUGGCGAGUGUAGCAGGGUAUUCUUGUUCUCUGGUGAGAUAUGUUGCAGAAGACUCAUCACCUUUCAUCUCAAUUUUGAGCAGCUGUGUCUUGAGGGUAUAUUCCUUUAAGGAAGUGUGAGGUGUAUAUGCACGUCCCAAAGAGAGCCAUAGAUCACGAGAAGUUGUACCGUGCACAUGCUGAAAAGCGGCCUCAGAGACAAUUGACAACAAUAGCAUUCUGAUGUGUGCAUCAUUUGCAAGCCAUUAUGAGAAACUCGGGUUUGGAGUAGGUUCUGCAUCUUUUUCUGUUAAUUUUGAUGGUAGGGUGGGUUAUGGGCAAGGAAUUGUUCCAUCAAUAUAACCAAAUAGGCUGUUUGUGACUAAAAAAGGUUGAAUCAUGGCUUUCCAAUAACCAUAAUUUGUAGGGGAUGGAGUAAAGCCGAACUUGUGUGAGUUGUGUGUUGUUUGUCGGUAGUAGAAAAGGAUGUUAUAGACAUUGAUUUUUUGUAUUAGAAUAAUGAAGGUUGAUUCGUGUAUCUAGGGCAGAAUUGUGUCUGCGAUUGAAGUGCAUCAAACAGAUGAACUUUAAUCGAUUAGGUCAGCAGCAUCAACUUAUAACCACGCUAGUUUUUAUCAGACUGUAUCACAAGAGAAUCUUGGUGGCAAGGAUCUAGAAGAUUGUGAUUUCUUGUAUAUGGUGGGAUCGUUUAAAGGGAGAAUGAACAGAAACGGAUGGUUUCGACUUACAAAUUAGGGUAAGAUUUAGGUAACCAGGCUCUGAUACCAUAAACGACUUUAGGUAUCAACAAUUGUAUUGUAUUACUGUAUAUUUGUGAAUGGUAAAUACAUGGGAUAUUUAUAGGAUACAAUAUUACACAAUAAUCCUUCUAAAUAUAAGAUAGAUAAUGAUAGUCUAAUAAACACAACACCCAAUUUCUCCAUCAAUUAUUAUUAUAGCAAUCUACUUUCGUUUCUUUCUAUUACAACAUUGCUCUUAUAUACUACUUAAAUGAUUACAAUAAUAGGAAGAAGAUUAUGUGUACUUGUCUCUUUAUUACGACAAAGAAAAUCCCUAUUGAUGGGAAAACAUCGAACUUUAAUUGACGAAUUAAUUGAAAGUAGGAUGCCAAAAUACACAAAUAAAUUGAAGUACAUUAUUAUUUCUUGUAAUUGUAAGUUUUUAGAUCGGUGAAAUGCAAGAAACAGCAAGACAUGUCCAUGUAUUUAUGUAUUAUAACAUUAAAUCUAAUCAAUUAUAAGAAUAUCAUGGAAAUACAAAGCCAUUUGUACCACUUUAAAAGGGUAAACAUUUUAAAAGUUUAAUACCUUAAUUGGGUAGGUUUUUUCAAACUACAAUACCUUAAUAAUAAUAAAAAAUCGAAUGUACAUUCUUGCAAAUAGGAAAACAAAUAAAGUGGGAUCUAUAAUACAGAAAAAGCGAUAAGGAAAAUCUUAAAUUUCUUUGUUUGGUUUAGCAUCCUACUUUAGACGGCUAAUAACAUCCUAUUUUCGACAAUUCUAUUUCCUAGGACAGAAAGAUUAAGAAGUUAACAUUUAAAUAAAGAAAUGUUUGGUCACUUGUGUUGUUUUUUAACAACCAAAGAAUUUAAAAAGAUACAUGAAAUAACAUUGUACUUUCAUUUUUUUUAUCAAUCAAAAUCAUGAAAAUUUUAAAAUAUUUCUCAUAAAAUAAACUAUUAAAUAAAAAUGACUUAUCUUACAAAUUCCAACUGCAUUCUAUGAUGAAAAUGAAAAAAGAAACACCUCCCUCUUAAGGUAUGAAAAUUAAGAAAAAUGAAGAAAUUCAAGUCCUUCAUGAAUGAUCUAUUCCAUCCCAUCAGAAAAACAAAAAACAACUUUUUUUUAUUCCAAUAGAGCAACGAAUUCCAUUCCUUAUCCGAUUUUUACCAUUCCAAAUAGUAAAAUGACAUAUUACAUGAGAAGAAGUAACUAUGAAUUUUAUAACGAUAUUUUUCAAUUAAAUAUUAACUGGAAUGAAGAAUUAGUUGUUACUUUAAGUAAUAAGAGAUAUAUGACACAAACAAUACAAAAUCUUGACAAUGUAUUCGACACGAGAACUAUACUGUAACUUGUAACUUAUAGGAUAAAACUCCCAGCUUAGAUUAUUUAUGCAGAAGUUUCUUCAUAAAAAAUGAAUACACAAGUCCACUUAAUCAUAGAUUAAAACUUCAAGUUACAAAGACUGAAGACAAGAGACACCAGUCUCGACCAGUUAAUCAGUUUUUGCGGUUAAGGUUUGGAUUUUUCUUUUUUGGGUUAGGUUAUGGCAAGCCGAAAUACUCUUGAGUGCUUUUCCAUAAUAUCCACCUAUAUCAAUUGAUCAUUUGAUCCAACCUGUGUAGCUGUGUAGCCUGAGAUGUCUUCAAUUAUCUUUUUGUUGACCAUUGUCUGCACAUUAAAGAAACUUUCAAAAUAGAUACAAUAAUAUGCUAACAUCUAUAUUUUGCUCUAACAAUUUCCCAACUUUUUGCGUAUCGAUUUCUACUUAAUGUUCCAUUUAUCAACAUGUUUGGUAUUUACCUAUAUUUAUCAUCCAAACCAACACUCUUAGUUGGCUAGUCGCAUCAAAUUUGCAUACUUCCAAUCAACUUUCCUACAAAAAGACAAAACGGUACAAAAUGGUUUUAAAUGGCUGAAUUUCAAUUAAGAAAUAUAUAAAAUAAGUAAGACAACACACUUAAAAUCCUCACCACUUAGAUCAUUGAUUCACUUUGGGCUUCCUGUCCUGUUAGAUAGAAAGAGGAAUAAAGGUUAGUUAGAACCAAAAAGAGAAAGGUUAAAGGGAUGAAGAAACCCAUACCAUGACUAAAAUCCAAAAGAUAGUCGUCUGGUUAAGGUUGAGUAAAUUAUUAACUCAAAUUAGAUANAUAUAUAUAUAUAUAUACACACACACACACUAGUCGUUUACCCGCGCCAAGCGACGGGUGCAAAUUGUUUUUUCAUAAAUUAAUUUCUAUAAGAGAUUAGUUAUUUUGUGCAAAUAGUUUACUACAUCUAAACAACCAUCAAUAAGAUUCAUGCUAGCAGAAACGGAAUCAAUAAGAAUUAAAAAUCAAAAUUACGAUUUUUUACAAAUAUACAUUAGCACAUGCUUAAUUAUGUAUUAUUAAUCGUGCAACAUUAUACAACAUAUUUGAAGGAUAGAUUUCACUGUCGUUGAAUUGUUCAUCAGAGUUCACUAAUACUUUUGUAUUGGCACGUGAUAUCCGUUUGGAUAAUGCCACAUAAAGUUGGGCAUGCAAGAAACAGAUUCUACAAGAUAAGUACCUACAUUUGAAAUUGUUUGUACCUGAGCUUUAUUGAUUGCUAAUGCGAAACAUAANUAUAUAUAUAUAUAUAUAUAUAUAUAUAUAUAUAUAUAUAUAUAUAUACCUUAAUAUAUAUAUAUUUGACAUAGUCAUUUUUGGGUUUAUAUUCAUUGACUUACAGUCUCUCAAAGUCGAGAUAUCAAAGCUGGAAAUUUUAUGUUUUUCAGCUUUUUUUUAUAUUGUGUGAUAGUUUUAAAACAUGAAUAUCUCAUUCGUUUGAAGUCGGAUUGGCACGAGGUUUUUUCGAGAGUGUAGUUUAUAGUUUGUAAAUGAUUUUAGACUAUAAUUUUAUUAAUUUUGGGUGUUUAUUCAUUGACUUAUAUUCUCUCAAAGUCGGGAUAUCAAAGCUGAAAUUUUAUGUUUUUCAGCUUUCUUUGUAUUUUGUGAUAGAUUUAAAACAUGCAUAUCUAAUUCGUUUGAAAUCAGAAUAGCAUGAGGUUUUUUCCAAUAUGUAGUAUAGAGUUUGUACAUGAUUUUAGAGUACUAUUUUGUCAUUUUUGGUUUCAUAUUCAUUGAUUUCUAGUCUCCCAAAGUUGGGAUAUCAAAGUUGCAAUUUUUUUUCUUAACUUUAUUUUUGUAUUUUGUGAAAUUUUAAAACAUGCAGUCGAUCUACUUUACCCGGUUCCCUGGAUUUUUCGGUUUUAGACCUACUUUACCCGGUUCCAUUCAACCCACUUUGAUAUUUCUGGGUUUUCCAGUUCUAGACCCACUUUACCCGGUACCUUACCUGGAACCGAAUCAGAAUCGGUUCCAAUAUACCGGUUUGGUUUCCGGUCCUAAACAAUCUCGUUAAUCGGUUCCUGAGUUUUCCGGGUCCAUGUCUACCAGUCUGGGUUUGGACCCACUCUCAUCCCUACUAGGAACUAUAUGAUUGAUAUGUAAAGUUGUUGGAUUAGGUGUUUGAUCCCAUAACUAUAACUGGUAUGUACUUGACCUAAUAGUAGCAUGGUCCUUUUGGGUUGCCUUCACCAGUGCAAUUUGAUAGGAUGAACUUUUGAGAAUAAGGAUAUUAUGAUUUAUUAAUAUAUUAUAAGUAUAAUAUAUUAAUUGUGGAAUCAUAUUAUUUAAUUAGUAUUAAUCAAGAAUUAAUUUAGUGAUCAAAAGAGACUGAUUAAAUAUACGGGGACUGAUUAAGUAAAUCAAUGAUUCUUAUAGUGUGGACCAAUGAUUAUUUAGAAUGGGAUAAACUAAUAUGGUAGUUCAUGGAUAGUCCAUGAAGGUUUAACCCGUUGAUCCUAAGUAAUAUGAAAGGUCAUGGGCAUUAGGGUUUGCAUGGAGGUAACCCUAGUUUUGCCACUCUAUAAAAGAAGUCCCUUAGGCACCAAAAUUGCCCCUAUGUGUUCUUUAGAAGGAGAUAGCCAAUUUUGGUGAUAGCUAGUUUAUUCUCUCAAGCCUCCUCUUGCAUAUUGGUGUUUGUGACACAUUAGAGGCAUCAUAUUUGAGGUGCUAAAGAUUUUGAAGGCCAAGAACUACAAGUCCUACUAAGAGGUAAGUCAUCUAACUAGUUGUAUUGUUUAAAUUGUCAUGUUGUAUGCUAGUUAGGAUGUAUUCUUUGGAAAAUCUAUUUGCAUGUAUAAUUAGAGAAAACUCAGAUCCAAAGCAUCUAGCGUUGUAUGUACACCAUAAGGUUGUUAUAGUGCUCAAAACCCAACAAAAGUAAUACAUGUUGCAUGAGCUAUCUUUGAUGUUCUUAUUUUUUAUGUGGAAUGUAAAUGCAUGAUAUUUUUGGGCUAGACGGUUGAAUACCGAUCUGACUGACCGAAGGCCAUUAUGUCAAGUUAGGGGCACAAGGCGGAAACGCCAAGUCUGUGGAUUCGACGGCUGAAUAACGAGUCCUUAUUUGGGAUUCGGUUAGGAUGUGUUCCUAAAUAGGCACGAGUUACAUGAUCUUGAUGUUUAUACUAUAUGAAUGUUUGUAUAUUUGAUGAUGGCAUGAUAAGUAGGAGUAUGGUAAAAUGAUUUUAUUGUUAUGUUGUGUUGGAAUCCACUAAGCUUCGUGCUUCCCCUUUCCUUUAUAAAAUGAUUAUUACAGGUACAUCAGGUAUGAAUAAGGGUAAGGCCAAAGCUUGACUGUACACAGGCGUGAUUCAAAGAUUAGUUCCUUGUCACAAACACUUGAUAUGAGAUUUUUCUGACUAGUAUUUCCGUUGUUGAUUUGGAAUUAUGAAUGGAUUGGUAUUGUUGAGAGCAUGAUUUGAAAUAUUAAUUGAAUACUUGAAACUUAACGGUUUGGUUAAUUAAUGGAUUUAAUGGUUUCUAUUAUAAAUAUAAAUGUUUUCAAAAGUUUACAUUUAUUGAAAAUUUUGGGACGUUACCAAUUGGUAUCAGAGCACAUCUUGAGCGAAUCAGACACAUCUCGGUGUGUUUGAACUCAAGUUUGCGGCUUGGAAAUAUUUUCUUUAAAAGUUUGUAAAAGAAAAUGGAAAUUUUGGUGACAAGGAUUGAGGACCCAUUGUGUACAGUCAGUUGAAGCUGAAGGAAAAGAAUUUAAUUAUUUAAUGUGAAUUAUUGCUUUUUAGGAUAAUGGAUGUAUGUACACUAUAUAGCAUAUUACUUUCAUGCCAUGUUGAAUGCCUACUAUAUGUCACUUGGAAUUUAUGCUAGCACUGAUAGCUUGUCUAGUGAAUGAUUUAGGUUGUAUGCAAUAGGAGCCAAUCAGACUUAGAAUGUAUGAUUUAGCCUAAUGUGUGUAACAUCCAAAAUCUAGAAGGUCAAUUAUGGAAAUAAAUUCCCUUUUUAGGGGCCAACUCGUCGAUUUUAUGGCAUAAACUCGACGUGUUGGAAGCUUAUGGUGCGCAUAUUUUUAAGAACCAACUCAUCGAGUUGGUGAAGGGAACUCGACUAGUUAGACGUUGUUUGAGAAACCCUAAUUUUUGGGUUUUGCACCCUAUUUCAACACCUUAAGUUCCUAGUGGCCUUAUUCGUAGCAUCCAUAGCCCCUAACCCUAAUCUCGAAACCCUAGAGCCUCCUUGAGUGUUUUGAGGUCAUUGUAGGUGUGUUGGAAGCUCUUUGAAGGGAAGAAAAUCUUAGUGCAAGGUGGUGGUGCAAGUAGGAGAUUUUAGGUCUUGAUUCUCUGUUUCAUUUUCAACACAUCUUGGGUAUAAAGUUCUAACCUUGCUUAAUAUUUGUGUAGAUAUCUUAUUUGUUUAAAUUGCAUGCUUUUAGCCAUGGAUGGGUGAUUGUUAGGGAAGUAGAAGUCACAUGUGCUUAAUCUUUCAGAUCAAUGAUCUUCAUGAUUUCUUCUGGCAUAAAGGUGCCAACUUUAUGGUCUUAAAGGGCUUCAUGCAUAUAUUAAGCAAAUACAUUUUCUCUCGUCGAAAAGCCUAACAGCCUUUACUCCAUCAACACCACCACCCUUUUCACCCUCGAUCGAGAAGAAGGGAUGAUACUAGAUGUCGUACAUCUCUGCCGUCAAAGACCGUUGCUUAGGGAUCCACACCGCUGCUCAAUUCCCAUACAACAACUCUGUAAUGAAAGGAAAGAUCCUCCACUACUACUCGACUUUGGACCACUGUCGACCUCUGGACCAACGUUGGUGGUGUUAGAGUUCUACCACCGCUUCAAAUGCUGCCCCAUUCCAUUUCUUUCCUUACCAUUCUUGAUUUGGGUAUAUUAUGAUCUAAAGCAUUUGGUUUAUGAUUUGUGAUUCGUUUUUUCAUUAGGUUGGUGAUUCAACUUGCAAAAUUGAAUUUCAUAUAUUAGGAUGUGAAUCAUUUCUUUUACAAUCUAUAUUUUUUAUCUGUGUUUUUUAUUUUGCUUUUGCUUUUGAUUUUUAGGUUUGAAUUUCAUAUAUUAGGUUUGUAUUACUUUGAUUUUGAGGUUUGUACUGAUAUGAUUAGGAGGGUUGUAUUAGUAGUGGUUAUCGGAGGUCAAUUGGGUUCCGAUGGGGUGGUCGGUGAUGAAUUGGGCAUACAGGAUCUUGAAUGAUGAAGGAUAAGGGAAAUAUUGUCUUUUUAUGCCUGUAAGGGACCUAAUGCGUAAUUAAAAUACAUUUUGGGGACUAUCUGAGUUAAAAAAAUAAGUUAGGGACCAGACAUGAAAAUUAACCCAAACCAUAAGGACCAUUCGUGUAAUUUACUCUUAAUUGAAAAAAGAAAAAUUACAAAAAUGGUGUAACGCCCGCAGAUUCGAACUAGUCAAUUUAGAGAUAAUAAGCGUCAAAAAUGACUUUUUGAUAGAAGAUUACUUAGAAUAAAUAAUCUUAACCAAGUUAUAGUAUAUGUCAUAAGGAUUCCGUACAUAUAAAGAACGUUGAAAUCCGACCUAUAACGAAUAAGUUAUGACCCGUCGAAGUUUUAUGGUUAAACCGACACGACAUCGUGUAACUUAAAAAGUGAAUUUUUAAUAAAUUACUUUUUAGCCUUAGCGAUUUAAAUGAAAGUUGUAGUAUACGUUAAACCGAGAGCGUGCGUAAAAAGAACACCUAAAUAUGACUUCGUAUGAGGAAGUUAUGAUUUUCUAAGAUUUAGCAUAGUAGUGCACAACCCGAAAUUCGAAUUUUAGAUCGAUUGAUUUUUAGCUGUCACAAUCUAGACGAUAGUUGAAGAUCUCGUUAAUAGGAUCUCAACGAUAAAAAGACAGUCGAAAACGGAGUCUGUAUGUAAAAGUUUCGAAUUUUACACGGUUGUUAACAGUGUAAUCUUCUUAUACUGUUAAAUUUAUAAUCAGUCGGGAAUUAGCCAACGGAGUCUAAAAGAAAGUUGUAGCGUACGUCGUCACCUACGCGUGGAUAUAAAGAACGUCGAAAACGGAGCUUGUAUGUGAAAGUUACAGAAUUUAGAAGUCGGAAGGGUGAUGUUGCGAAGGGUGUGACGUGGCCAAAUCCUGGCCCUUGCUUUCUCCCCACACCUUGCCACCAGCUGGUGACACUUAGCACUAAACUCAAUGAGUUGGAGGCUCAGAACUCGCCGAGUUGACCCGUUUUUCAGCCUAUAAAUACCAUGCGAGGCUCACUCAUUUUCCUCACACCUUAACCCUUAUCUCACUCUAACUUCUCUCUAUACCUCUCCCAAGCCCUAGUACUUCCCAAGUGCUAAGAGGCAAGUCCCGGGGUGAUCGAAGGCUCCGAGAAGAAGAGUUUUUCGGCUCGGAAGUUCUGCCCCCGCAGAGCCCGAUUCCUAGCCAAACCCCCGAUAAGUGAGAUAUGCCUACCUUACUUUAAGAAUAGCUUAUGUUUAAAUUUAUUAUCGUUUUUAGGAAGUUAUAAACAAUAUAUAUUAUAAAAUAUGAUAUAAAAAGUGUUAUUAUAAUAUCUAUUAACUACUCGCGGUACGGGGAAUCCGGUUUAAAGGGUCGUCUAGGUUGUUGGAUUUCAGAAGUGCUAUAAUGCCAAAAUGGUCAUGCCUUCCGGUGUUUCAUGUAUGUCCCCUAUCUGUACAUAGUGGUUGAAAUGUAUUGUUUAACGUUUAUAAAACAAUAUUGCUCGUAAAUAGUCGCGAUAAAUAUUAGACUAAAAUCUAGUGUAAUGAUAGUAGGUUUCAUCGAAGAAAAUUAUAAUUGAUGGAAGCGAAGCGCUGCCCGGGUUUGGAAUCAUCACCUUAACAAGUGAGUGCAUAGUUACUUUCAUCUUACACAUAGAUAUGAAGUAUUUAAUAUAAAUUAUGUGCGAUGUGUGUAUAUUAUCUAUGUUCUUGAUAUCUAUAUUUGAUGAACCGAGUAUACAUGUUUUAUUUGAUGUAAAAUAUUAUAGAGAAAUCGAGUAAUUGUAUGUGUAUUCCAUUUACAGUACAUCAAUAUAUACAGAGAUAUGAACUGAAAUAUGAGAGAUAUUCUCCUAUUCUAAAGGGAAGUAUAUACUGACUUUGACUAUUCUCCUAUUCUAAAGGGAAGUCUAUACUGACUUUGACUAUUCUGCUAAUCCAAUAAUACACGUUUACAAUAUUUGUUAAUAACUACAUAUGUAUUUUAUACCAUUAAAAAUAUUGUGUAAAAAUGGGUAGAUGAAUGAUGAGGGAUGAAAGAUGAUAUAGAUGAACAUUGGCAGUUAUGGACUUAGUGCCCUGUAGAUGAACAUUGGCAGCUGCGCCAUAACCUGUAGAUGUUUUUGAACUACGAUGUACUCUAAACAUCCUAGCAGCUGCACCUAAAGGAUAAUAUCAACAGCUGCGCCUAAUAGAGAACGUCAUAAUCUUGGCAGUUGUUCCUAAAUGAUAAUAUUGACAGUUGUGCCUAAUAGAUAACAUUGGCAAUUACGAACUUCGUGCCUAUUCCUUAGGAGAAUUCUUAGGAAUAAAUGAGUGAAUGAUAGAUAAUUCUUAGGGUAGAUCCUUAAAAAAUAAAGAAGAUAAUGGGGAUGGGUAACUGAGUUAAUUGUUUUGUAACGACCGAAAAGUCCAACUAAUUUAAAUUUUUCAAAAACAAUCAGAUUUCAUUAAAUUAUUACAAAAAGGUUUUCAAUACAUUAUUUAUCAGAAUAUUCCCAGGUCCAUUUCAAAAAAAAAAACAUAAACACGAGGGACGGUACGAUCACGCCUUUGCCCUGCCACAGUCUCCCGAAGAACCUGAAAAACAUUAAACCAUAACUGUAAGCCCGAAAGCUUAGUGAGAUACCCCUAAAAUACCAACCACAUAUACGCCCUUCCAGGCUACGACCUUCCGGUCCAAAACAUAUUGCCUUCCGGCCCAUAACAUAUUGCCUUCCGGCCCAUAGCAUAAAAAGCAUACAUAACAUAACAGAACAUAGAACAACCAUGCAUAUCGGGUCUACUGUGUGACUGGUCCGCCGUAUCGGGCCUUCAGUCUACCGGAUCCACCCUCCGAGUCUAGUCAUGUCCUUUGAGUCUAUAGUGUGGUUGGUCCGCCCGCACCAGGCCUUCAACCCACCUAGUCCACUCUCUGAGUCUACAGGGUGACUGGUCCGCCCGCAUCGGGCCUUCAGUCGGCCUGGUCCACUCUCCGAGCCUCGGCACGUCUGGUCCGCCCUCGUGGGGCCUACAGCCUAUCCGGACCGCUCGCUGGGCCUUCGGCAUAACCGGUCCGCCCUGGGUAUCUUGGCCUACAGCACAAAGCAGGACCCGCCUCAACCCAUCCCCAGUCCAAACAACCAUGUGCACAUAACAUACAAUCAUAUAACAGUCAUAGUCAACAAACUGAGCAAGCAGAUCACAUAGCAUAUCAUUACCCUAACCAGGUUACCGACCUAAACCGGUCACUAGCAUAGCAUCACUCUACAUAUCGGGAAACUGACCUUAACUAGGUCUCCAACAUGUACCAUCCUACCUACCAGGAUGCAGACAUAUCAAACAAUAACAUAAUAACCAUAUCCGAAUCUCAAUCCAAUAAAGGGCCGGCCUUGGUGCCUUAGACCCUGUUGAUAUAGUGAGGAUAACUCACCUCGAAACUGCCGGCUGAAAGGAUAAGAUCCCGCUGCUCCGAACUCUGACACGAACUCCUCCACUGAACACCAAAACACUCAACUCAAUAUAUAUCCUUAAUUACCAAAAUACCCCUGGACGACAACUGGUCAACCUUGGACAAAGUCAAAGUCAACCCCUGACUGACUCUACUCGCCGAGUCAACCCGAUGACUCGCCGAGUCCCCAAGCUUAGAACUUCCCUCAAUCCGCGACCUAACUCGUCGAGUCACCCCGAGACUCGCCGAGUCCAACAACUCUGAGUCCACUCGCACCCAACUCACCGAGUCAUCCCUUGACUCACCGAUUCUCGACUCAACCAGAAAAUAUUGGGACUCUUCGACAAGACUCGCCGAGUCCAAGAACAGACUCGCCGAGUCUAAGGCUAUCUUCAACCUACUCGCCGAGUUGUUCAUCCAACUCGUCGAGUUCCAGCUCAUCUUCAAGCAACUCGUCGAGUCCACCCAUGUGACUCGCCGAGUACCACCAGUCUGAAUCCAUACAGAAGCAUUCCAGGCCAUGCAAUUGAUCCAAAACAUAGAUCUAGCCUCCUACAACCCAUCCAUCACGUAAAGUGGCAAACUUUACGUGAAUCCAUGAAGAUCUAGGCAUUAUGCACAUUAGGGCUAAGGUUUGGGACAAGAUAGCUUCACUCAACACUCAACACAGGGACUUUAUGCACAUUUGGACCAUCACCACUCCAGAUCUGAGGUAGCAUCCUCAGAUCCAUCUUCCAAUCCCAAAUAACUCAUGAAAUACACCCAAAAACCCCAAAACAACCCCCCCAAAGAAGACAACAAGGGGGAAAAGAGCUCAAGACAGAGGAUCCUUACCCCAAAGAUGAGCCUAAAUUGAUGUAGACUCCAGAUCUCCAAGCCCUCUUGAAGCUAUCCUCAAAUUCCACCCACUUCUCUCCACCAACCCUUUCUUCCAAGCUUCAAUCCUUUCAAUAAUGAAGUUAUUACGUUUGGGGGUGUUCUCUGGAACUCUCAGGGGGUAUAGAGGCUAAAAAGGAUGCAUAACAUCCUUUAAAUAGGGGGCAAACCCCGAAGGUUAGGGUUUUCUUCACCCAGCACCAACUCGCCGAGUCCAGCCGCCGACUCGCCGAGUUGGCCAAUUAACACGUGACCAAUUCGCGACCCUACGCGCCGAGUCCACCCAUGGACUCGUCGAGUUCCCCUUUUCCAAUUUCCCCUUUUUGCCCAUCAACUCUACUCUUGGUAUUUCGGGAUGUUACAUGUUUGAUGAUGAAACAUAAUAACUUUAUUAUUGUAGGUUGAAAACACUAUGUACUCACCAGGUUUCCCAACGUGACCCGCUCAGCUUAUUCAUAUCACAAGUGUCGAUAUGAAGCUACAUUUCAUUGAGAGAUUAAAGGAGAAGUAAAUCACUAAUGUAAAUGAAUGUAAGAUCUAUUUAUGCUUAUGUUUAUGUAUUGACAAUGAUAUCCCAAAGUUUUAAUAUAAACAAAAUACAUUUAUUCGGAAAUGCUUUGAUAAUAUAUUUAUCAUGUUUUCUGGGAACAAAUUCCGCAAUAUUAUUCUUUAAAAUUGAAUACUCUGAUUUUCAAAUAAACAUAAUAAAAAAUUUAAAAUGACCAUGAAUUUGAGGAUGUCACAAAUGGUCAAAUGGUUUACCAAAGGUCACAAACUCAGUCCUUGCUAAUUUAUUUUAUGGAAAUGGUCUCACUGGUUUGCAAAAGUUGCACGAAUGGCCCUUUUUAGUAACUCCGUCAAUAUUCGCCCGUUAGGCCAUAUCACGUGGGAGUAUUUUUGGUAUUUUCAAGUGUAACAGGGACUAAAUUCAUAACAUUUGAUAAACCAUAGGGACUAUUUCUUUCCAUCUUCAUUUUAAUCAUACGAUUUAGAACGUACAACUAAGAUGAAAUAUGUAUUUUAAAAAAGAUAUAUAACCGAAUAGGUUUUUUAUGUUUUUUAAAUACAUAUAACCGAAAAAUGGUUUUUUGAAAACUGAUUGGACCAAACCGAAAACAUAUUCAACCGAUUUUACCUUCCAAUACAACGUAAUAACAUAUUAUACGAAAAUGUAUUUUUUUAAAGACAUAAAAAAUAUAUUUUACAUAAAAUAAAUACGAUAAAAUACAUUUUGUUUUAUUUAAAAAAAUUAUGUAAAAAAAGUUUUUUGUAAUUUAUUUAUUGUUUAUGUUUUAUCGAUUUUGUUAUCACAUAAUUUAAUUUUAAAAAGAAAUAAACCAUGUGAGCAUUCAGCUCAGUUGGUUAUCCCCCCUUUCUUUAGCCAUUUAUUUGUCUUUUAAAAUAAACUUCAAAAAUAGUUAUUGUAGUUUACCAAAUGUUACGAAUUAAGUCCCUGUUACACUUGAAAAGACCAAAAUACCCCCAUGUGGGAGGCACGUGAUAUGGCCUAAUGACCAAAUAUUGACGGGGUUACUAAAAAGAGUUAUCCAUGCAACUUUUGCAAACCACAGGGUCUAUUUGCAUUAAAAAAAAUUAACAGGAACUGAGUUUGUAACCUUUGGUAAACUAUAGAGACCAUUUUUGUAAUUUUGUCUUGAAUAAAUAAUUUAUUUGUUAAAUGUUUUAUUAAUUUAAAAUUAAUAAAAUUAGGUUUUGGUCUUUUAUUCUGUUGAUAAAGAAGGUUCUAAGAAAACUCAAAAUGUUUUAUGAAAUAAAAUGAGUUUUUAGUGGUCAUUCAAGAUAUAAUAGAUUUCAUUCACUAAACCCUAAUUGCUUCCUAAAACCAUGUAACACAUCUCGUUAAGGUAUAAUUGAAAUUAUAAUUAAGAAAAACAUUUAUAGAAAAAUUCCCAAAAAUUUAGAGCUUAUGUUUGUUGAAAAUACUUUGGUCCCAAAAUAAUAUACUUAAACCAAGUUCGAAAACACAAGGUUGUUAACAGUAAGCAUAUCAAGAAAAGAUUCAAGAUCAACACACAUUAUGUAGCCUUCUUAAAUUUCAAGCUAAUCCCUAACCCAAGCUUGAGUCUUCAACCUAAAAACAUCAUAUUUUGGACAAUUUUUCAUGGGGACAGAAAGAUUAAGAAGUUAACAUUUAAAUGAAUAAAUGUUUGGUCAACAGUGACGUUGUUUAACAACCAAAUUUUUUUAAAAAAGAUACAUAAAAUAACAUUGUACUUUUAUUUUUUGUUAUCAAUCAAAAUCAUAAAAUUUUUAAAAUAUUUCUCGUAAAAUAAACUUAUAAAUAAAAAUGGUCAAUCUUAGAACUUCCAACUGCAUUUUAUAAUGAAAAUGAAAAAAGAAACACCUCCCACCUAAGGUAGGAAAAUUAAGAAAAAUGUUGAAAUUAGAGUUCUUCAUAAAUGAUCUAUUCCAUUCCAUUAGGAAAAAAAAACAAACAAUUGUUUUAUUUCAGUGGAAUAACUCAUUCCAUUCCUUAUCCGAUUUUACCAUACCAAAUAGUAAAAAAAAAAUAUAUAUAUAUUACAAGAGAAGUAAAACUAAGAAUUUUUAAAACUAUAUUUUUCAAUAAAAUAUAAUUGAAAUGAAGAAUUAGUUGUUAGUUUAAGUAAUAAAGAGAUAUAUGACACAAAUAAUAAAAAAUCUUCAUACACGUGCACUAAGCUGUAAUGUAUAGGAGAAAACCCCAAGGUUAGAAUAUGUAUGCAAAACUGUCAUAUAAAAUAAAUACACAAGUCUAUGUAAUCAUAUAUUAAAACUUAAUUUUACAAAUAUGGAAGAAAAGAGACAAAAGUCUGAUUUUGGUUAAUUAGUUUUUUCGUUUAAGGUUUAGAGUUUAGGCCAAACUAAAUAUCCUUAACUGCUUUUUUCAUAAUAUCCACCGAUAUCAAUCGGUCAUUUGAUCCAAUGUGUAUAGUCUGAGAUGUCUUCAUUCGUUUUUUCUUGACCAUUGCAUGCACAUUAAAAAAACGGUCAAAAUAGAUACAAUAAUAUGUUAACAUCCAUAUUUUGAUCUAACAAAUUCCCAAACUUUUUAUGUAUCAAUUUCUAUUUGAUGUUACAUUUAUGGACAACAUUUUUGGUAUCUACCUAUAUUUCUCAUCUAAACCAACACCCUUAGCUGCCUAGCAUCAUAUUUGCAAACUUCCAAUCCACUUUCCUAUAAAAAAAGAUAAAACGGUACAAAAAAGGCUUUAAAUGAAUGGUUUCCAUUAACAAAAUAUAAAAUAAGUAAAAGAAGGCACUUAUAAUUCUCACCACUCAAAUCAUUGAUUUUACUUUGUGCUUCCUGUCAAAUUGAAAGAGGAAUAAAUGUUAGUCAAAACUCAGAACCAAAAUGGUUAAGGGCAUCAAGAAACCCAUACGAUGACUAAAUCCAAAAAGUGGCUAAGUCUCAUCCCACACCCAAUUAUGAAAAUACAAAUCAAUCUUCAGAAUCAUAAUUCGUAAAAGUGGUGGUACUUGUACUUCUUUAUGUUAUGUUGAGAAGAUUGAAAUGAGCGUUGAUAAAGUUGACGAUGAGAAAGACAAUCCGAGAGUUUAGGCUAACAGUCAAAAGCCCUAUAUCUGACAAAAUCGAAGAAAUAUAAAUUUGUUUGCUGAUUUUUUUAAAAAAAGGAGAUUUUAUAGGGUUUUGUCGUCAUCCAGAGUUCAAUUUGAAGAUAUUUUGCUGGAAUUUGAUCAAAACCCCUACUCCGACUACCCAGUCUCUGACUCGGGUUCGUUGAAAAUUGUGUGGUGUUCCUUUGUUUGAUAAAAGAAAUCAUGUAUGUUAUGAUUUGGGAUGGUGUUAAUAGGUAAAUGAUAAAAUGUUGAUGCUUACCAACUGUUUGAUGAAUUGCCAAGGCGCAUUAUGAGGAAAGAAAAAAGCUAGAAGAGCAUAUGGUGUCUCCUCUGUGCUUGUCUCUGUUGAAACCAAAUUGAGCGAGCCAUAAGAAUUCAAUAUUAAAUGUUUGAGGAAAAGCUUCAGAUAUACAGUAGACGUGGAUGAGGAUGAUGAUGAUGAGACUUGGGAGUUGGGAAGAUGAGAUUGCUGAUGGAGAAGAAGAGGAAGAUGAUGACAUAGAACCACAAUGUUCAAUUUACAAUGAACCUUGAUAUUGUGUGAUUAUGUGUUAAUCUUUAGGUAGAGCAUGAAAUGUUGAGGGGGAAAAAGAAGAAAGAUGAGUCUUUCCAUAUAUACCUCUCUCAUGGUACAUGUACUUUCUGAUCAAAAGAUCAUCAAUUUUUAUGGAACAAAUUAAGGAUCUCUUGAUCAUCACCAAAUUUGACGUUGGACAUAACGUGGACUCCGGAACCCCAUCUCUUCAUGCUAGGACAAUUUUCCACCUUGAUAAACUCCAAAGAAGGAUAUUUGACUGUAGAAUCCCCAGAGUAGAAGCUCUUUAGUUGUGGCAAAAACCCAAGCUCAAUACGGGUAAGUCUAGGGAACUCAAUGUCAUUAUCAGUUGUUUGCUCAUCUCCACCAGAAAUUACUACCAUCAAACUGGUACACCUCCGAAUCCUUAUUUUUCUCAGAUUGGAAAGCCCUUGUGCUACACUUAACGGGAAUAGCACCGACAAGGAAGUACACCGUGCAACUUCAAUGGCUUGUAGAUUACGCAAGCUUAUAUAUUGAAAUGAACAAUCAAAAAGAAGCUUCAGGUUCUUAAGGUCAGUCAGACGGAUUUGUUCCACUUGGGAGAAAUACUUUUCCUUUGUUGUUUUCCUUUGACCAAGCAUCAGGUCAUUGGAUGCAACAAAAGUUUGUGUUGCAUCCUCAUCCUCA
Molecule: long non-coding RNA, 86700 nt
Filed under: Lactuca sativa (garden lettuce)
Lineage: Eukaryota; Viridiplantae; Streptophyta; Magnoliopsida; Asterales; Asteraceae
Source: RNAcentral